AGGGGCUGUGGGUCGGAGAACCGGGGCUCCCCGGGCCUCGGGGCCCUGCGGACGGAGCGGCGGCGCCCGCCGGGGACCCGCGCGCCCUAGCCGGCCGCGGCGCGCGCGCUGAGUCUGCGUGGGCUCGGGCGCGGGUUGCUUGGCAGGCGCUCGCGGGAAGCGCGCCUCUCGUGGGCCCCCUCUUUGUUGGGGUGCGGCGGGGGAGCCUGGGUGCCCCCUGGGCGUCCCCUGGGCCGCCCGGACCGGCAGCUUCUGCGCAGCGCGGGGGAAACGCUCGGAAAAGGCGGGAUCCCGGGAGUGGAGACUUCGCUCUUGCACCCGGGCCGACUGGCCGGCAUCCGGAUCCAGGCGCGGGGCUUGGGCGCGAAGAGCCUUGGGCGCAGCGCCGCCAGGGGCUCCCUCCUAGAGCCUGGCUGCGCAGGGAUUGCGGGGGAGAAUCCGCCAAAGAUCCCCGAAGUGUGUGUGUGUGUGUGUGUGUGUGUGUGUGUGUGUGAAUUUUUCCUUCCCUUUCCCCCCGAUGCGCUCGGAAUGCGCACUGGCCGGGGGCAGGGAGGGGGCCCGGGAGGCGGAAGCUGGAGGUUUUUAUUUUCCUCUUUUAAUUGCGAGGAGAGCAGACGGCCUCCCCCAGUCCUUCUAGUCCUGGCGCUCUUGGAGGUGGGGAGGACGCUCCCUCCUCCUGCGCCUCCCGGUGGGCGCAGGGGGCCAGAAAGUUGGAUGGAAGGCCGGGUCACGGCAGGCUGGCCGAGCUAGCUGCCCGAGUUGCCUGCCCCCGGAGGUGGGAGCCCUGGGUCCGGAGGCUGGCGGCGCCGCCGGAGGCACGCGCGCGGUCACCUGGAGCCGGUUCUCCGGCGCCGCCCGAGCCCGCCGGGGACGCGGGGAAGCCGGAGACUCGCGCCCCGGGCCGCUCGAGCGCUCGCGCCGGCCCCCGGCCGCCCGCGGACGCUCCUGGCUCACAGCCCCGGGACGUGGGGCGCGGGGGAGCUUGUCCGCAGGGCCGGGAGGCCCCCUCCGGGUCCAGGGCAGGUCGCAGCUCUCCUUUCUCCCGGGCAGCAGUCGGCCCCGCUGGGCCCACUUUGCUCUGCGUCUCCGGGACCGAGGCCAGCUUCCAGCGGUGGGCUGGUCUCCGCGCUCUUCUUGGAGGAGGGAAACAGCCUCGAUUAUACCGAAAACCCCAGCUUCCCCCCACCCCCCACCCUCCCCUGGGCUGGAGUGGAAGUUGGGAGGCCAAGGAAAGAGUUCGCGGUCGCUGCGCGCGUGGGGAGAAGCGCUGGCCGGCGCCUUAGUUUUUCCUCGCUCCCCGUAGCCCUCUCCGCCGGCCUUUGUUGCUUUGGCACCGGAGGGCUUCCCCCGCCUGGAGGAAGGUCCUCUCCGCUGCAGACAGGGAGAUCUCCCUACUAGCGGUCCACCGGCUGAAAAACGGGGAGAGAGUACCCCCCCACACACACACCCCCCUGCUGUCCCAGGAAAGACAGUCACACCCAGGUAGCCCCAGACCUGACAGCAGCGUCUGGCCCAAGUGGAGACAUCUCUCAAAGUUUGGCUUUAAAAAAACACAUCUCCUGCAGAUGGGUGAUGGGAUGGGAAACUCAUUUUUUCUCUGACAUGCCACUUACCACUAUUAGGAAAAAAGACAAGAGAACCAUCCUGCCAGAGGAGAUGCCUUUUAUUAAAGCUGACAAGACAAAUAGGGCGAGCUUUCCAGUUGUGAUGGUGUUAAAAGCAAGUCUCAUUAUGUUGGUUGGUUUUAUUCCCCUUUGGGCUUUAUUAGACAGCAUAUUCGAAAGAGAGGAAUUUAUAUUUUAAACUUUAGUGCCUUAUUAAAUAAAACAGCAGUGAAAUUGGUUCGUUGAAUUUGGGACAUUUUGCUCUUGCUUGUCUUUUCUUUUCCCCACCCCAAACUUCACAGGGUUAUCUUUUUUUUCCUCAUGGUAUUCAUUUAUUGGAAUACUUGGGAGUUCCACUCGUCCUGGAAGCAUCAGCAACGUCCCCAGUCUACCCCUCCUUCUUAACCUGUCAAGCUAGUCUGAGUUAGUUUGAGGACAUUUUAUCUUAGGUUAUCUCUGUUUUAUGCUUUUGAUACUGUUGUUUGGUUUGAGAUUAGCACAUUGAUUUUUGUCACAGGUCAUGUUUUUUAAUAGAUCUGCCCUGCCUGCGGAAAACUCUCUUGUUCAGGAUGCCAUGGUGUCUUUGAAGCUGCCCAAAGUUAAUCUGUAGAAUUUUAAAAUACCAAGAGUAUUCUCCGAGUCAGUGUUCUAAUUUGAAGCUUGUGGAAAUACUGUUUAUUUCAUCAUUAUCAAUUUGAUAAUGUUUAAAAGGAAGAAUGAUGUACCCCCACCCAAGAGAUUCAACUGUAAUUUUAGUAUUCUUAGAGAUUUGUGACUGUGUUUCUCUUUAUGUGUUACUGCAGUAAAACUUUUAAAAAGUAAUAUUUUAAUGCUAGGUACCGGUAGGCAGAUUUAUCUUAGAAAUGUUGGUGCUUUUUUGAUGAAUUAAGAAAAGUCAGCUUGGAUGUAAUUUAAAAGGAGCCAAAUGCAAACUAAGUAAUUUAGAAACAAACAGCUUAUCACAGAAGAUAGUGAAAAACGAGUUUAGAAAAUUUGAAGAGGUCUACUAAUUUAAAUUUUUUGUUUUACAUUUUCUUUUUAUCUAUUGUUUUUAUGUAAAGUAAGCUAGCCUUGCGUUUUGAUUUUACAUGAAUCAUGUCUUUUAAGAUUUUACUAAAUGAAUAAUAUUAUCAGAAGACUUCAGUCUUGUGGAAAAAAGUAGAGAACUUUAAUUGCAACUUAAACAGACUUAAGAGAUUUUUAUCCUGGAAGAAAAGUUAAGUGGGCACAUUAAGAUGGUAACAAGUGGAUAUUAUGGCAAAAUGAAGUAAAUGAAGUAUUUUAGCUUAUACCUAUGGACUUCAGUUUGAAAGUAAGUUUAGAAUGAAAUUAAAGUUAAGUAUUAUAUCUUGAUCACAAGGUUUAAAUAUCUUACAUGUAACUUGUGCAGUCAUAGUUUAUGUGCUGUGUUGGGUUUCACUAUUGAGAACUUUGAUAACAGAAGUACAUCCAUAGAUCUAAGUUCACAGAGAAAAAAAAAAAGAAAGGACAAUUUAUUUGUUGUCGGAUAGUUUUACUCUUAGACUCGGUCUUCCCAGGUAUUCACUUCUGGGAAAUAAAGGUUCACUUUUUAAAUGCUAAUAACUUCUUAAAUUUCCAGUGUUUAUUGGGUGGUGGGCAACACUGAUUUUAUGUGUUGACUCGCUACAGAUCUCUAAAAUAGCAACUGGGACCUAUCAAUCUGGGCAGAAAUAUAUGAUCAGAUUUUUGUAAGUGCAUCUUUUAUAUUUUAAACAUUUGAAGAGUUGUAUGAGUUUCACCUAAAUAGUAAGAGUGAUAUUAAGAUCCAUUCAAUGUUAUGCUCUAUUCUGAACUGGCCUGUUAGAGUUUGAGUAAUUAAGAACCAAGUCAAGGAGAAUAUAGCUAUUUGUCCUUAAUUUAAUAAUGUAAAAUGCUUUUAAGUAACUUUUAAAAAAGUUUUUCAGCAAUAGAACUUUCUUUAUAUUCUCCCCUAGUAGCUACGCUAAUAACCGUAGAGAUGGCUUAGUAUUAAGAAUAUGCCUCUUAAUCUGAAACAUGCUAUAAACAGUUUGAUUCUUUCAAAGAAAAUAUUCAAACUGUGUCUACUGAAAAAUUCUUGGAUUCAUUUGCCCAUUUACCAAAAUGAUGCUGGGAUAAUUAAACCUAUCUCCUACUGGUUUGCAUUAAUUGAUGGAAUGGUAAAAUAAUACAAUGUGAAAUAUAACCAUACUUCAAAAGUACUGAUUCUCUUCACUUAGUUCUUUGCUUCUGUUAAGGUUUGAGAAUCACCAAUUUAAAAUGUUAUUCUCUUAUGGGAAAAGAUAUCUCUAUAGUUCAUCUGGGAUUUUAUAAAUUUCAACCUAAUGGUAUGUUUUCUUUGGACUUGUAAAUUAAACAUUUCAUGUUAGAGUAGCAGGUAAUUGACACCAUUUAGUUUUGCUAACAUGUAAUCUUGAGUUGUGAAAGUGAUAGGAAUUCUAGAUGAACACUUGGGAAUCUUUCAGGCAGUGUGUAUGUGACUAAGCUGAGAGAUGUAGUAACAUUUUCCCCUAAUCAUAGCCCUUGCAUAUUAUUUUCUCUUUCAGAAUUCACUUGUUUCAUUUUAACAAGUCCAAGCUCUCAGUGUCAUAUAUAUAUACACCGUUAUACCAAUACUGUGCCUUUUUCACUGACAAACAAAUAUCAGUACGGUCUAAAUGUAAGAAUCUGUUUUGAGGGAAUAUGGAAAGUUGAUCUUGGUUUUGAAAGACCCUAUCACCAACCUUAAUAACUCUAGUUUUAGAAUUUUAAAUCUUUUAAAUAGUGUUUCAUAUAUUAGAAACAAAAGUUCUUCAAGUAAAAGACAUUACUUAAGAGUCUUUUAACUUUAUUAACGCCGAACCUCAGUGUAACAUUUUAUUAGAUACAGUGGGGUAAUUUUGUUAUUUUGGUGUUUAUAUCAGAGUUUUAUAACCAUCUGCUUUAAAAAUAAAGCCUGUGUGAUGGAAAUUUUUAUCCUGUAUUUUCACCCUUAUCCAUUUGUAGGAAACGUGAAGUGACUUUCCCCGCCUCUUACCCUUUCUUUAUCUAGAAUUUUGUCGAAGAAAAGUGUGCUGCUUAUUUUGGGCCAGUGUUCCAGAGAAUUUUGAAAGCAAAACAAGCCAUUGGGAUGUUCGGUUCCACUGAUUUUAUGCAUUGUGUUCUGUAUUAGUAGUAAGCCAUCAGAAACAGUCAACUGUCUUUUCCUUAAGAGACUGGAACAUCAGUGCUGUUUGAGGCACACUUGAUGUACAGUCUAGUUUGGCGUUUCCAGUGUGAGACCGAGGUCAAUAAACUUUUCAUGAUGAAAAGAAUCAGAGAGAGCCUUCAGUCAGUCGUUACUCCCCUUUCGUUGAUUUCAGCCGUGUUAGCUAAGCCAUUGGCUCACCAAAGGAGCAUCUCGUCGCCAUGUGUGUUCUGGCUGAUAAUCAAGAGUUGUAGAGGCCUCCCCAUUUGAAGGCUGAGGAUCACAUUUGGAGGGAACAUUUAGUUAUCUGGGGGCAAAUUAACCUUGUGAAUUUCUUGCCAUUUAAUCUUGUGAGAUGCCUUCUGUCCAGUGGCCUGAUUUCCUGUAGGAUGGGACAGAUAAAGAUGAGCGUCUCCUUUUUCUCCUCUGUUGCUAUGAACCAACCAAGCUACCAGCUUCAUGCUGGGCCAAGAAAAUGAAUGAAUACAAUUAGUCCUUCAGGAGUCCUGGCCUUUGCAAGCUUAGAAGUAUAUGCCCAAAGAGUGUACCUUUGAGAAAGAGAAAACAUUGAAAUGGAAAAUGAACAAAACAUAGGAAGAUGUUAAGAAGAGAAUUUUCUGUGAGCAUUUGGUUCAUUGUUUAAUAUUUUUUUUUGUCCAAUAUAAAUAAUUUGAUUAAUAAUUUUUUUUUAAGAUGCGCCUUAGCCCUCUUCAUUUUCUUUGUGUGUGUGGGUUUUGAAUAACUUCAGGCAGUAAUGAGAACUUAAAAAGCUGUGAUAUUUUAUUUUAGAUAAUGAAUCGGUCUUAUGUUCACUGAGGCCAUAUAAUCCAUUUUCUUUUCAGAAACAGUAUGCAGACUGUUAAAGUGGCAGGUCUGAUUAGGAUGUUGAAAAGGAAACGUGUGUAUCAUAAGUACAGCGAGGAAGGCCUGGCCUCCUACCAGGGUGCUCAGUCAGGGACUAGUCUUCCAAACCGAGAAAAAAUUGCCUUCUGAUCAUUUGUGACGGAUAACACCUUCAUAUUCAGGUGUAAAACCUCAAAGAGGAGUAUGAGAAAUGAGAUGUUAAUAUUCGCUUUAGUAAUUUGUCUUAUGAUGGUGGUCUUAGCGAAACAUCAAUAAAUUGCUGUCUCUUUUAAGGGCCUGAUUUAUAUUAUUAAAUUUAUAUUUUCUUCUGCUUCUCAGCCUAGACCCCGAGCUGUUUGGUAGAAAAGUUUCCUGUGAUUAAUUUGAACUUCCAGUGUUUCUGAAUGGAAUAUUACUCACUACCAUGAGAUUGGUUUCCCCUGAAAUUUGCCUACAUUCAUGUUUACAGAGUUGUCAGUUACAAACCAGGCAGCACAAUGGCAUAGAAGCACUCAGUUUAGAAUUAGGAAGUAAUGCUGCGGGGUUUUCUGUAUUACAACUAUUAUGCCUAGUUUUUAGCAUAAACAAAGAAGUUCCUUAUAUUUUACUAUUCUUGAUAAUCUAUACUCCUGAUUGUACUCGGAGGGAUUUAUUGCCAACUACUGAAAUCCCUAUACUAUUUUCUAAUCUGAAAUCCAUGUAGAUGGAAACUUGACUUUGAGGUUUUUGAAUACAGUAUUCAAGCAGGGAGUCACAGAUUUCAAUAAAACCAUUAUUUUAAAACAGUGAAAACUUCUCCUUGAGUUAGCCAGUUGCUGAGAGACCGUGGAGUACCACAGUGAAGGUUAGCUCAGCUUUCAUUCAGGUAGAAUUCUAUCAUUUUCAAUAAGGAAAAAUAAACCUUUGUCAUCUCGAGAAACAUCCUUCAUGCAAUUGACAGUUGACAGGUUGAAGAAAAUGUUACUGUCAGGCCUUAUUUUCCCCUCAAGUGAGAAAUAAAAAUAGUUUUGAGUGAUUUUUUUCAGAAAAAAAAAAUCUAUUUUAAAUUAUUUCAAAAUGGAGGGGAAAUGUUUUCAGCUUUUACAUAUAUGUCAUAGAAUUAAUCUGCCAUUUGCUUCAGGGAAGGUCAUCAAAGUGCUGUUCCCAGAGGUUAUCUCACAGCUUAGUUCCUAGGGUAUUAACUUGAAAAAGCCAAAUUCAGCUGAUUUGUUUGUGACAGGGUAUCACCGAGCAUUUUCUGAUGGAGUUCUGUAAAAGAUGUAAGAGACCAAUAUUAUUCCUGUUACUACUUGUCAAGUGACCUGAUUCUCAGAACUGGGGAUCGCGGUUCUGGUGUGAAGGACGGGCGGGAAUUUGGGUUUUGUUGCAGCUCUGUGUAUAUGCAUCGGACCUUCAGGUUAUUAGCACACUAAGAGCAGACCUUUUUUAAAAAAAAUGGCUUUGCUAUUAAUACUUUUCAGUCACUGCCCAGCCUAAUCUGUAAGUUUCCAUGUGGAAGUGCAUGAAUAUAUGCUUGGAGAUGAGAAAAAACAUAUACCGAAGUUCUUGUUUCUCGAUUUAGAAAAAGCUAGGUUUUUGGCUUUCAGUUAAAUCAGCGUUUCUUUUCUUUCCCCCAGAAGCAGCCAUCUUGUUUUAAGACCGACUUUAUUUCUUUCAUGAAAAUGGUCCGGAAAUGAAUAUGGACGAUAGGAAAGGGCUAAACCACUUUAUAGUCGUCUUGAGCAGGGAUCCCCCUUGAAAGCUCUGUCUUAUCUGUGAGCGCACUGAAAAUGCUAUCUUCUCGAAUUUAGUUGUCAAAAAUGGAUAUUUUAACUUAGUAAUGAUAUGUUUUAAACCCAGGCAUAUUAUAGUUUCAUGUUAAGUAUUGGGCUGUGCCAUAUUUACAUACGUAUUUUUCUCUUGAAACUUACAAUUUCUCAGUCAUCUAUUAAUAUCUCCUAUUAUCACCGCCCCCCCAUCCUGAUGUCCUUUUUCUCACUGUACUAAGUAGUCUCUUAAAUUUGUUGAUUGAUAUAUAUUUUUUCCCCCAAAUUGCUCAGCAGUCCUAAGAAUCUUUUUCUAGUACAUGGUACUGAUAAAAACAUAGGUACCUCCAAAAAGAAGCAUUUGGGGUGCUUUAAGAAGCGUUAUACGAAACCAGAGCCUUUCCGCUCCCUGCAACAUAGGCUUUCACAGUCUCAUGACUAAACCGUUCCUGUGGGUUCUUACAGACAGUUAUUUUGGAAGUAAAUUCAUAUUUGUUAUUAAAAAUAAUGUGAGUGCCCUGAGACUGUUGUAUUUUCCACCAUGUUUUAAAUUUCUGGAUGCAUUUGGAGGAACAUGUGGCCUAGUAAACUUUACCAAAAAUUUAUAUUACGCUUCUUGCUACUGCAUCUGUUUGAUGAUGUCUGGGAACGUUGUUCCCAUGCACUGCAGUAAAAACAGAAAUUCUUAAGAAGAAUUUCAAAGUACCCUGCCUCAGCUAGUCUGAUUAAGCUGGGCACAGAUUGAGUACUGCUGAUGUCACAGAUGGUUUCAGUUCAUUAGAAGUAGGAUUUGUGGUGGUUGCAGGGGCAGUGUGAAGGCGAUGCAUAAAGUAAAUGUUUUGGGAUAAGACGUGCAUCUCAUGGACUUCUCGUUACAGUCCAGGUGUGAGUUAACAGCUUCUCUUACCAAAACCCUUUCCUCCACUAUCCAUCAUCUGUUGUUCUUUGGCUGAUGGAGAAGGCUACAAUAACCAAGUUGUUCAAAGUGACCUUUUUGUUUGAAAUGAACUAGCAAAUUACUUUUGUUUUCCCUUCCUGCCUCUAAGGUGUCAGAAUGUCCAUUCUGGUUUCAGUAGUGAUUUAUUUAUGCAUGUAGAAACUGUAAUGAACAAUUAGCUCUUGCCUCUGAACUAUGAAAGCACAUGUUGUAAGAGUAAAUGGAAGCAUCUUCUCCUGUCCAAAAUGCCAUUUUGCGGUUUUGAGGCGGUCGUGGCUUAUUUUGGUGGAAUAAUUGUAGUGCUGAUUGUGGUCUAGAUGUUGAUGGUGGUGGGCGUGAUGUGAAGUUUUGUGGUUCACAGGUGCCAGCGGAAAAUAUGGCUUUGUCACAUUCCCCCAACUUUAAUAAUAGAUAGGGGACUUGACCUUUUGGUGAGGUUUUCUUUAAUAGUAUUUCAUUUUAUGGAGUCAAAUGGGGAUUAGGGAGGAAAGGAAAAAUAAGUCUAGAUAUGGGGAAGUCAUCUUUUGUGUUCAACAAUUAGGUUAAACAAAGUGGGGGCAAAUGAGCCUGGUUCCCCUGCUGUUGUUUCGGGGCCAGAAAAUACAGGCAGAUGUCGGCAUGUAGACGCGGUGACCUCUGACCCACACAGCACGACCGCUGCCCUGGCUCACGAGUGUCCCCAGCGAGCAUCCCGCCUCCGCAGCAGCCCCCUUUUGAAGUGACUGACACUUGAGAUGGAGAACCUGAAGGGGAUUCCGUAGCUAUUUGCAGCUCUCCCAAAUCUAAGCCUGCUAGCUUCAGUUUUAACUUCCUCACCUUCCCUUUGAUGAACCACGUUUCUUUGUGUGGCUUAGACAGCGCUUCUGCGACUUCCAGAAGGGACCUGUGGCCCCGUAGUCCCCAUCAGUCUUUUCCUCCCAAGAAAUUUAUUCAUCGGGUUGGGAUAGCGGAGGAGGCUCAGAUGUAUGGUUCCGCCGCACCAAGCGUGUGCCUGCUUUAUUUAGCUAAUAUGUUUUUCUUUUUUUUUUUCUAAGACAGGUGAAAGCAGUGAUUUUGUUGCAGGCCUUUUCUUGUAGCUUCUGCUUUGCAAUCUUGCCCAUAACCCCUGGGUUCAGACAGACCAUUAACCUUUCAGAUACUGUGGCAUUCAGAAUUUUCUUCAUAUAUUUGUUUACUGUUACUGCUUCAGGAAACUUUUAUGCCUAUUUCGGUAGUUUUCUGGCAGGGGCUCUGUGUAUUAAAAUCUAGUGACCCAGCAGUAAAUGGGGUACAGUUCAGAGAGUGGGGCUCCUGACGGGGUUUUGUGUCAAACCAGAGAAAAUAAUAGGGAAGUGAAAGCUGCCAAAAUGUGUCUCCCAAUUACUAAUUAAUCAGGCGAGAAAGGACCUCAGUGACGGAGCUGGUGUCUGCCAUGACAGCAAAGAAAGGGACGCCUGGUUUUAAACACUGGAUAAAGCAAACUGAAGUAAGCCUCAGGGGGCACAGCACCCAGAGAGUUGAUAUCACAAGUGUUCAUCUUUUUACGUCCAUGUGAAAACCCAAAUUGAAACUGAAUCAUUGUAGUUCACUGAUAGUAUCAAGACAGGAAGCUAUUCUUUAUGCAUUUUGCUUAUUAAUAAGCAAUGUCUUUAUUCUUAUAAAUAUUUUAGUAUGGAUUUAAUAGUAUUCUUAGUUUUAGUAUUGAUGUAGCAUUGUAUACAUACUUUAUCCUCGAUAGAGACUCGGGGGGAAACAUUAAAAAUUUCUUUUUUUAAUCAUAUGCCUGUCAUCCAUAUUUUAAGCAUUGCUGUAAUUGAAGAACAAAAUUCUCCCCUCCCCUGGAAAUAAAUGUGUUUGCUGUCUCAGAGUUGCUAGUCUCCUCUACCUGUGUUCCAACUAUGGUUGCCGGACCCAUAAUUAAAUGCCUUUUACUAGUGUAUUUUUUCCAUAGCAUUUACCACCUAAAAAGAAGAGGGUCUCGUGUGGAACUAUAGCUGUCAGGGGAACAAUGAAGCUAAUUCCACACUCUGUUGUCACCAUUGUCGACUAUACUCGGGGGACACCAGCAACGUGCUGGGGUGUGGGUGUGUAUGUAUACAGGGCAUUUCAUGUGAGUAUACACUCAUGGGGUCACGCAUACCUGAUGGCGUAACCUAAAACUCUGGGAUCCCUGAAGCAAAAAAAAAAAAAAAAAAGUAUAAAGACAGUCUAAUUCAGUUAAUUAAAUAGAAACAAAGCGAUUCUUGAUUGGGAAGAGGGCUCCCACUUUAGUAUUUGUUCUUGAAAACCUGACCUGGGAGAGUCAGCAAUACUUACUGCUCUGGAUGUCUCCUUAUUUUGAGUAUCAUUUUGGAAUGGUCCUGUUAUCAUACAUCUGUGCCCAUUAUUUACUGGGUAACUAUCUCUUUCACACAUUGCUAUUUCUUAGCUCUAGAGUUUGGUGUUGGUAUCUGGUUGUUUGAGGACUGAUCGCUUUGUUUAUUAUGUAUAUCUCUCUGUUCCUGUAUUUCUCCUUUGAUGGCUUUGGCCCAUUUCACUCUUCAGUAGGUGGAUUUGGGAAAGAAAAUAAAAAAAAAAAAAAGAUAUCUCUGAGAUGUAGAGGAGUUCUGGUGUGAGAUUUGGUAAGAAGAGACUUUGUGGCUAUUGAAUAACUUGAGGUUUGGAAUCAGUUUUGAAUUUCAAUCAUCCAUGCCAUUCCUGUUCUGUGGUACCACAUAGAAUCAGGACUUGGCCCUAAAUAAUAUUUUCCAUUACUACUUUAAUUUCUUGGGUGAGUUCUCCUUACUGUAUUUAAAACCAGAACCAAAUGGGUAAAUGCAGGAAUUAUAUGUUGAUUUAAACUGAGUUUUCCGAAGUUUUCACGUUAAAGGAAUAUUAUAAAGAUCAAUAUCUAACGGUAGUAAUAUAUUUCUGUACUGGAUAUCUAAAAGCUACAAUUGGUAAAACAUUGAGUGAUACCUGCAGACAGUGGGAGGCAUGCAGUGGAUUCAGAGGUGGGUGAGGCAACAUCUGUGCCCUUAAGGACCUUGCAAUUUUGUGUACAUUAAGAACUGUAUACACACGAUCACAGUGCAGAGAGGAAGACACUGUUCUCAUCACAUGUGUGAUCUUCACCUCUGGAUUUAUUCAGCAAACAUUUAUUGAGUGUCCUCCGUGGGUCGGGUGUAGCUCUUGGUGCUGAGGACAGCGCAGUAAACAACACAGAAGCAGCACCCAUACCAUCCUGAAGCAGCACAGAAGCAGCACCCAUACCAUCCUGAAGCAGCCAGUUUCCAAUUUCUAGAUCACUGCUUUUCAUACUCCGAUGCGCACACAAGUCCUCUGAGAAUUUUCUUGAAAUAUAGAAUUUAAUGCGGUAGAUCUGGGGUGGGGCCUGUCUGCAUCUGUAGUGAACUCUCUGAUACUGAUUCUGCUGACCCAGGAACCACAGUUUGAGCAGCCAGCUUCUAGAUAAAUCAGCAGGGAGAGAGAUCACUUCUGGUUCCUCACCAAGGGCUCCUGGUUGUUCUCGCCCUGAACUGCCUGUGUGGUUCUGCAGUUUCUCAAGGGGCUCAGUGUUUGCAGGAGUGCAGGUUAUUUGUCUUAAGACCCUGUGGUUGUCUUUAUGUCUUGCGACUUUACCCCCAGGUCUCGGACAAACAAAAUAGAUUUUUACAUUGAGGUUUAUGCAUCGUUAAAAUGCACCACUAACAAAAGUAACCGGCCAGGUAUUUGGAUGGAAGUCUUGCUCUCUAUAGACAAAUCUUCUGGAGUGAAAAAAUUGUUUUGGUCCAAAAAGUUUAAGGAGGAUCCUGUCAUAAAUGUCUCAAUAUAUUUGCAAACCUUCCCCAGAGAUAUUUUCUAUGGCAAUGCCAGAAUUACACCUCAGAAACAGAUUUUUAAGACUUUCUAAGUGAAAUCCAUAUGGUUAAACGAACCCCAAAUGUUCAUUUUACAUCCAGCCCAGAAGAUGACUAACAACUUUUGUGCUUCCUCUGACGGGGUUUCUUGUGGGUGACGUUAGGAGCCUACACUUCUAUGGAGAUUUGGGGAAAAUACCUGUCUGCUCUAAAAUGCCAUAAUUUUAGUGUCCUUAGUGGGAAAUCUUUGUUUCUGUAGAGUCUCAGUGGUAUAAAUACGCUUGUAUUUUUUUCAUAGCCUGUAUAUCAUUUGCUUUUGCAAAACAAUUGUGUGAUGCUUGUUUUCACGAAUAAAGGGUGAAACUAAUUAAAUUCAGAUUACCCUGCCUGCUUAUUUAUUGUCGCUCCCUCUCUGGGUGUAUAAAUACAAUAUUCCCACUCUCCUAAGUGAACUUGAAAGUCUUUGAAAGCAUAAGUAGACUUACUCAACUGAUACACCUCUAUGCAACGAUUAUUAAAAGAAAGAUGAAACUGUUUGUCUUUAGAUCAGCUAUAUUUGUAUGAAAAUAAGCCAAAAGAAGGGGAGGAUGGUGAGCACUCUUAAUUCACACAUACUUUCAUUUUUUAAUAAAAAUUUUGCUGAUGCCUUUUUAUAGUUAAUUAUCAAGCAGAAGGAAAACUUUUCAUUUUCAAAUCCUUGGCAAAAAUGGACUUAAUUAUUGUGUAACUUUUGUAAGAACUAUGAAUAUUAUUAAGAAUAGUAAAUCAAGACAUGUCUCUUUUGCUUGACUUUUUUGAUGUUUAUGCUCAUUAGGGUGUAAAUAAGCAUCUGGGGCAAUGACUUUGAGGUGACAUCCACUUAAGAGUUCCCAGUCUUACGAUUCUCAUAGAUAAAUUUGAGAAUCUUUCAUGACUUUGUGUGAACUUAAGGGUGUCCUAAAAGAGACGUAUGCUUAGAAGAUUGUUAAAUUUAGAAGUAGGAUAUCUUCAUUGAUUAAUGAUGUCAUUUGCAUAUCCCUAAAGGAAUGGCUUUGUUCAAACUGGAGUUGACACACCUAAGCUUUGUGGUCAUUGCCAUGUUUAGAUAAAGCAGAAGAUGCUCAGUAGUCCUCAUUAUGGUUUUGCCCCUCCAUAUUUUAAAAAAGGGAAAAUAAAUACAUUGAAUAGGUUUUAUUUAACUCAUGGCUGUUAACGGUGAUUUGUCCUCGUUCACCAAACAGUUUUUAUUUAACUCAGGACUAUUAACAGUGACUUCUCAGAUUAAUAGGUUGUAACCGAGUUCUUUGACACAUAGAUAUUUGUACAUUUACAGACUACCUUGAUGGUAUAAAGUAAAAGCAUUGAGUUCAUGUACCUUUUUGUUUUGAGUUUUAUAAUAGCAGCUGUUUUGUAUAAAACUUCAAGUGGGUUUACGUGUUGACUAGGCUCGGCUCAGAGAGGAAGAUGUUAAAAAUCCUGUAAGUGAUUAGAUUUUUAAUUGUCUUGGUUAACAUUUUAGUUACAUUUCAGAUCUAGUUAAAUUUCAGCCCUGAGUCUAAAUACACCAUUCCUUUCAUAGUGAUGAAUUUGAACCUCAGUUUCUUCAUCCUAACAAAUAAAUGGGCAUGAGAAAAUUGUCUCCCUCAGAUCUGUGAAAAUUUGAAGGAAAAUACAGUAGGACUUUAAAAAGGGUUAUAAAAAUUCAAAUAGAGAUUGAGGGGGUAACCUCCGUUUGCAUUGAUGCAACUCUGUAACUCCAUAUGUUCUUUUAAAUUGCAUAGAAAUAUGUUCUUACAAAUAAUUUAUUGUCAAAUCAUCAUGGAAGAUUUGACCUUUUAAAAAAUCAAGUCGACUUAUUUUGUAAUACAUACCAUCCCUGCUAGAUACUAGUUAUGCAUUUACAUCAGAUUUCUUCUUAAAGGAAUUCACGUUUUAGGCUUAUCUUGUAAUUUCUCUGAGAGUAAUAAAGUGUGAAGAGAAGACACUGGAGAGGCCAGUUGGCUGGGGCCUUCUUCCAGAAAGGAAUUUUGGAUCUCCUUUGUAAAGUUGGUGCUCCCAGCUAAUCUCUGCUUCAUUGCUUCCUCUUUGACUUCUGAAACCCUAAUAUUCUGCUUUGGACUUCACAGGUAUAAUAAGGUAUCUCCAUCUCAAAGGAGAAUUUAAUGAAUACCGACACCCUUUUGGAGAAUGCUUGUAUUUCCAAUGAGGAGCUUGUUGAAACAAAUCAAUUCCUGUCUGGGGCUGUUCCUCACGGGCAGCGUGGCUGUCUCUGGGAUCCUUGGAUUCUUCUGCCUGCUACUUCCAGAAGAACAGGGCUGAGCCUCUUGACGCCUCUGUGCUUAAAAAUCUCCUGUUAUCGACUGCUUUUAAACUUAGUGCAUGCUAAUUAUACACACAUUGUUGUUAGGAGCAUAAAUAGAUCAUAACAACAUCUAGCUAGGAAAGGAAACAGAAUUUGUCAAGGCACACAUAUUGGAAUGCACUGAAACCUUAGUUUCUUUAACACAUUACUGUCAAAGGGCCACUUUCCUCUAGAAUCGUCUGGUGGUGACUCAAAGCAGGUUUUACUUCAUAUGCUUAUAGUUAGUCAGGAGAAUAGCAAGUGUUCCUGUUACUUGUUUUAGAAUAGCAAUCAUAUAUGAUUAUUUUAUGACAGUUUUCUCCUGAUGAUAUAAACCUCACUUAAGCUCCUCCCCACAAUGUAAUUCAUAAGGGAAAUUCUCAGUGAUCCUUAAAUCACUGUAACCCAGAGAUUUUGUGACAACCAAGGGCAGCGCUUGGCCAGUAGCAAUAAAAUUGACGUGAAUAUUAGCAAUAGCAAAAUUAUUUGAGAGCCCUGAUGACUCCGCAUAACUGAUUUCCCUUCAAAGUUCAGUGUUUCAAUGUUUGGAAUUGCUGUGCUCACCAGCUACAGUCUGAUUUGUUAACGUUUGUAUUGUGUCAUACAGAAGUGGGUUUCUUUGGUCCUGCUAAAUUGGAAGGUAAGAUUUGUCAAGAGAAUGAGCUUGCUAUGAGUUUAUUUCGAGUUUUAAAAUUUGCAAUUCUAGGUUACCUGGACUCAGUGUCUGAUGAAUGAUUAAUGGUUCCAAUCUCUCCCGUGUUCUAGGCAUCCUUUCUUGGUGAUAGAAUAGUCAGGAAGUUUAAAUUUUGAUGACUUACUUAUUGACACUCUGUAUUAUUAAGAAAAAUAAUUCCUUACAACUCAUGUAUCAGUUUAAACAUAUCAGCUAGAGGCUUCAUUUCAGCUAGGCUGACUCAGUAUUUUCUUUCCAUGAGAGCAUGUUGAUUGAUCAAAUUGAGUGUAUAGCAAUCCAGUAAUUCCUUAAGAUGUUGAAAUGAUUGGAUUGAGUUGCAUUUAAAUUAUUUAGCUUUUAUUAAUAUGGUAAGUAAUGUAGUAAAGAUUAGAGCUGAACAUAUUUCAGUGCAUUUGGUGAAUUUAAAUAAACAUGAUGGAAGAAGCCUAUCCUGAUAACCUAACCUCUUACCUCAUAUAAUUUGAGGAGGAGUAUUUUGAAUUCUCUUCAUUCUGUCUGUGAAAUGCCAAAUUACGUCAAUGUAUUUUACAUGUCUAAAAUAUAGACAAUAGUGACCUGCCUUUUAUUAUUAGGUUGCCAUAAACUUGAAUUUUAGCGUUUGGACAGUUGCAAAUUGUCUUCAAUUUCUCUCCUGUUGAACUUUUCAGAUCAUCUGACUGUCCUUAUAGAAAUAUUAUAAAAUGUGAAUGGCAUGUAUAGUUAGGUCUUUAAGCACAAACAGUGACGUCUACUUACUGAUUUAAAUGCAUAAUGAGCAUCAUAAUUGGUUAUAGCCAACAACUAUGAAUUUCUUGCCUCAGAUAUCUAACUGAAAUCUCAGGUAAUUUUUUAUGGUUGUAAUCAUUAUAGUAAAAACUUCCCAACUGUAACUUCAGGUUAGUUUUCUGACAGUUGACUCCUUGGAAAAAAAAAUAAACCAACUGGGCAAAUAUAAAAAUAUUUACAGUUCAUUUUAUUUUUUAAUAAAAAGAGUAUCUCUAUAUUUACACCAACAGAAGGCUACGUAAACUUAUGGAAAGACUCCAUUGAUCCCAGUAUAGUAUUAGAACUACCACCUUCCCCAUCCCACCUGCCAUCCCUUGGUAUGGGACUGUCACUGGCGGGAAGAGAGUGUUUGUGACUUUUCUUUCCCCAGGUCCUCUCUUCAAAGCCAAAGAUUUGCCUUCUGAAUGCUGCCAAGCCUCAGACACGCGUAGUAGUCUUUACCAUAGCUAACUCUGAACUCUGGGUGUUUGGUGAUCUGAGUUUCCUUUUAGGACGCACUUGAAUUGGUGGUAUACCUGGCAUCCAGUUCGGGAGUCAGCCAAGGAGUUUGGAGGAACCUCCCCUAGGGCCCUUGCGGGCAGAGAAGGCAACCUUUGGCAAGCUCAGGGUGCCUGAUCCCAUCAGGGCCCUGCUGGCAAGACGUGCAAGGGGUCACACUAAGUGGAUUUGCACCACGGCCCAAGGUGGAGCGUGAAGACUGCAGUCUUCAGUGUCCGAAGAUGGUUGGUUCUUCUUGGUAGAAACUGCUCAUUCGGGUCGAAAGUCUAACCUGUUUGGUUGAAUGGCCUCCCUUCCUUUCUCUGAGAAAGUGGUUUGGACAGUAAUCUACUUAAUCUAGCUCGACAACCCUCUUCCCGCUGGUUAAAAUAAAAUCUAGAAAACUCGGUGGGUUCUGCUUGGAAGGAGCUUCAAAACAGCGGCUGCAAACUGCGGUCCCUGCCGACCGGGUCCGGGGCUGGCCGGACCGCUCAAAGCCGCCUGUGGUCCCGCUUGGGCAGCACCCAGAGCCGGCCCGGGUCUGCGUGUUAGGAGAAGAGAAGGGCCGCGGGGGGACCACCAGGGCCGGAGCUGGACUCGGACAGGCGCCCGUGUGGGGAGAGGCCGGCGGCCUCCACAGCCAGCAGGAGCCGAGGUCGGCUCCAGAGACGCGGGGAGACCCGCAGAGGAGCGCGAAGAUGCGGAGCUCUGGGUCCUGGCGGUCCCGCGAUGCUGUGUUCUCACGGGCACCGCAAAGGGAGCCUUAUUGCUGGAGAGGAGCGAGAGAUGGGGGAGAAACCUGGAUUCCAGGCUGAUCCUCCUCCCUCGCGGGUACCUGUCCUGAUGACUCUGUCAGGCUUUGCAGCUUCAGCUGUCAUGUCAGAUUCACACUCUCUCGGGUCUCCUAAGUGCUUCAGCUUCCCCCAGGUAUCGGAUGGGCCAGCGACAACCAUAUGCCAUCUGAAGUGCCAGUUCUGAAGUUCUGAAGAGGCGAUGUCCUUAUUACAAGAAACAUUUCAACUUUUUUUGGAAAGAAAAUUAAAUCGUUGAAAUGUGGAACAGAUUCCCUUGUUUCAAAAGUGGAGUACUUUGACUGAAAACUGUAUUUUUUUUUUUUUUUUUUUUUUUACCAUUCAAUUCAAGAACCCAAACAAACAGCUGGCUGACUUAUGUUUUAGUGAAAACCAUCCUGGUACAUUUACUAACUGGAAAAGUAAACAUCCUUAAAAUGAAAUUCUCAUGUGUCCUGACUGCUAAGCGAUUUUUAAUAAAGACACAGUGAAACCAAGAGCAUGUCUGGACGGCCUUUCACUUUGACCGAUACUGUAAACGUCCCUGCAUCUUAAAUGCGUGUCCUUCUGUGACAUGUGAUGCGAACACACCAGGGCUAAAGACCACAUGCAGGCACAUACCAACACAAUUAGAAAAUGCACUAAUUGUCAAGGCAGUGAUCAGAAUGUGCUGCUUCACUCAGGCUCAUAAGGAGCAACUAACAAAUGAUGUCACAACAAAGCCUGGAAUGCUAUGAACAGAGAGAAAGCACAUCUGUUCAGGGUAUCAGGAACUGCUUCCUGGAAGAGGAAUACAGUAGUGUAGGCUUUGGACGAUGGGUAUGAUCUUCAUAGAGAUGGAGACAAGCAGGAGAAGACCAUUCCAGGGAGUCACAGCAAGAGGAGUGAAGACUUGCUGGCGGUAGCUUUGGAGGUGGAUUUGGGGGCCAUACAGAAAGUAGUUCAUUCUGAGUCAAUGAGAUCCAGUGCAAGAUUGGAAGCUUGGGCUGCAGUGGAUUAGCCACGUUGCAGGGUGUCACUGAGAAGCUUCUCAUAUUGAGGGGAGGGUCAUUAUGAUGGAUUAUUCUUUAUAAUGGGUGAGCUAGCAGAGUGCUCAUAUGCGUUAUCAUUGUUCUGCACCAUUGUGUAUCUCAGCUGCUGUUUAAUUGACUUGCAAAUAUAACCGGUACUGGAAAAUUUUGAAGGUCUCAAAUUAGGUCUGGUUCAUAAGUGGUUAGGUGGUAGGAAGGUAAAAACCGGGGCAGUUUUAGUAUUUCCAGAUGGCACUGCACGGUGCUCUAUCACAUAUAAAUUACUUCUCUGAUUUCUAGAUUAAGCAGUUGUUUUCAAACUUAAUUUUUGCCCCCCCCCCAAAAAACCCAUUAUUUGCAAAGAUCAUUAGCAGAAAACUAAUAUGUAAAAAAAAAAAAAAAGCAGAUGCCAUCAUUCAAACAUCAGGCUGCAUUUAGAAGAGAUUGGCAGCUAGGGCACCCCCUCUUCUGCUCCAGAGAGGCUGUGCAGAGGUUCCCUGGGCUGGUUCUAGGAGUCCCUUUUCAAAACCCCAAGUACAGGUUUAUUACUUAGAGGAGUGCGGGAUGAUUCACCCCUGCCUUUUCAGGCACAGAAGGGGCCCCGUGCCCCUCUGGAGAUGGAGGUGUUUCUCCCAUGGCUCCCGUUUAUCAAGCCCUUACUGUAUACCAAGCAUGGUGCUUUACGGACUCCUCAGUCAUUAUCAAGUAUUUAAUCUGGACAACACCUUCUAAGAAGAAGGCAUUAUAAUGACCCUGUUUUACAGAUGAGAAAACUGAGCUUUAAAUACUUUGACCUUGGCCAGUUAGGUGGCCCUUAACUGCUUCUUAGCUGGGCUGUGUGGAGUGACACUCCAUCUAAGAGAACUCAGUGAAGUAUUGAAAGGUGACCUUGAGAUAGAAGGUUCCAGGAGGCAAAGGGGAUAAGAACAUAGAGACUGUAUGCUGAUAUGAAAGGAGGGUUAAAAUUGCACACCUAUGUUCCCCCUUGUUGAGCGUUUAAUGGGCUGAAAGGUUGCAAACUGCAACUGGUUAUACCUACAGCAGAUAAUUAGUACCCCUGGAGGUUAAAUGUUUCAUGGACUCAUUCUUUGGCGCUAAUGGUCAGGCUGUGUGUGUUUAUAUAUACACACACAAAAUGUGUGUUGUAUACGAAGAAUACUGGGACUAGUAGGGAAUUCACAUGCCAGCUAGCUGUUCUCCUAUGCAUUUGGGUAAGCUUGACUCCAGAGGCCUGGCCAAAUAUAGUAAUAUUUUUAAAAGAAUUUCAGGAACAUUUGUAGAACUCCUAGAAUAAAAGCUGGAGUUUAACAAUCAUAUCGUUGGGAAAAGUUCACCUAUAUUUCAUCUAAAUUCCUGUACUUUUGGUCAGCUUUGGUUUAUAUAAUAACUAUGGAUUCACUUAAAAUUAAAAAAAAAAUACAGCUUCUGCCUCUUUCACUUUCAAUACGUUCUGAUCAAGAAGCGUGUGUUUUUAACGGUAUCGAGAACAGCCUAUGAAUGCUUGAAUUGACUCUAUGUUCCUCUGUGUCCCAAACCCCACUCCACACUCCCAUCUCUCCCCUUUCCUUGCUUCGUUUCAUCAUGGGAGUUUUUUGUCCGAUAGCUUAACAGCCAGUAAAUUAUUCCUGAUUAGUUUCAAAGACAAAAGUCCCCUGAUAGGAUGUGGGUGGCUCAGGUUCCCCGCUACUCUCUGGAGAGACAGCAUGGGAAGGAAGAAAGAGUUUUCGCACCUUAUCCAUCGUGGACAUCUGCUUUGCAGGCUAACCCAGGUCUGUCAGCUGAAAUAUGUGCCUGGAAACAUGGGGUGAUUCAUCACCCAGGCAGAACCUUUGUGGCUCUGCAGUGGAAGUUUGUACCCCUUCUUCUACUUUAGUGUAUAUGAAUGACAUUGAUAAGUAGAUAAUCCUGAGUUUGUGUAUACUAUCUACAUCUUUGUUUGUGUUCUGUUCCCUGGAUGAUAAGACUCUUGACGUCAGGGAUUGUGGUUUAUGUACAGAAACACUACAUACAAGAACUGGCCUGGGAUGGUUAAAAAUCUGAGGCACUUCCUGGGUAUAAUUCUCAGCUUCUCAACUUAGCAGGUGCUGUGGGCCUGGACAAGUUGCUUAACCUUUCCCUGCUUCACCUACCUCAGCUGUAAAUGAGAAGAAUAAAGCUAUUUAUCUGUUAAGACUUAUUGUGAUUAUUAAAUGACAUGUUACAUUAGAACAAUGCCUGGCACAGAGUAUGUGAUUCGUAAAUGCUAGCUACUAACAAAUACUUCUGCGUGACUUUCUCUAUUUUCAUUAUUAUGUACCAAAAAAAAAAAAAAAUCUUACACUGGGACAGAGAUGUAUUAAGGAGAUAGCAUUGACUGUCUUUGGAGUCAGGGUGCUCUGGGUUCAAAUGCUGAUUCUUUAACUCUCAGUUUCAUAUGUGUAAAAUAGAGAGUAUGUAUAAUGUGUGAUGAUUCGGAGGAAAGUAAAUGCAUUUAAAAUACCUGCUGCAAAGUAUCCCCUCUGUGAAAUCUGCUUAUUAUCAUUAUUAAUUUAGAGAAUUACUCACGUGAGUAUUAGCCUAUGAGAUGAAUGGUCUGCCCACAGUUCCUGUCUUCAUUUCAUUUUCUUGCCUGCCUAUGGCCAAAUGUUUUGGUAAUCUAACUGAACUCAUGUGUUAAUUGAGUGGAAAUUCUCCUUUCUGAUUUUGUCAGUUUGAAAGAUGAAAUGUUUGAAAAAAGAAAUAAGGCCUGGUGAUGUGGAUGCCACUUUUAUUUUCUCCCAAUCCCGUGUUUGGCCUUAAGCAGAUCACCAAAUGCCCCAGGACUCGUUUUCAUCUUGACCACAAGGUGACUGACCGAGGCGAUCACCUGUGCUAGAGCAUCUGACUCGGAAGAUCCGAAUGAGUCAGAGCUUUGACACUACUUGACUUUGACCUUGGGCAAGUCACUUAACCUUGGGCGAGUCCAGUUUCCUCAUUUGUGAAACCAGAGGAUUGUUGUCCUCUGGGAGGUCAUUGUCAACUUGAUGAAUCUUUCCAUCUCUUUAACUUCCUUGGUUAAAACAUAUACUGUAUUCCCCCCACCCUUUUAGCUUGUCAGAGCAGAGGAGAUAACACAUAUGUGUCUACAACACGUCUAAACUGAGCGACUGAUCUGAUCUGAAACUUUUGAAGAAAACACAUAGAUUUUUUUUUAAACUUUCAAACUUAAAAAUUUUUUUUUCUGUGUUACUUCUAAACAUGAUUUGAAGGAUUUAUCUGGAAAACUAUCCUGAAAUUAUAGUUAAUUGGUAAGAAAAAUAAUAUACAAUUUCAGAGCUUUGGGUACAUGUUUUAUACCAAAACAAGCCAAGCCACCUUCAUCCAAGUUAAUGAAUCCAAUCCUGAGAUUUAACACGGGGAGACUUUGGCAGAAAUGUAUCACAUUAAAUUCUGAAUUUAGUUUGGUUCUAAAAAAUAGGAAGAGUUUUUAAGAAGUGUUUCAAAAGAAAUAGAAGUGCCUGGAGUUAAAAAAUAUAUAUUCUUUAGGUUACAUCUGUAAGAUCUAAAUCACAAGUUGAUUUACUAAAGUGUUUGGUUUUCUUUUGCUACCCACUGGGAGGAGAUAUGAAGUAGAAGAGGGGAGACUUUAGAAAAUUGGAUAAAUGUGUAAAUACCGGAACAGAGCAUAUGAUUGUCCAUUUAAAUCUGUAUCAUAAGUUAUAUAAAUAUGACUUUACGGGUUUUUUUGACUCCAUAGUCUUCUGAGCUGUUUUUUGCUAUAUCACAUCUAAUUUUACAUACUUAUUUUUACAUUAUUAGUGAAAUAUAAAUAAUGUCAUGACAGACUUUAUAAAAUGAAAAGAAUAUCUCAAACAUUACUUUAGUGGUCAGCAAAAACUGAAGUGGACAAGACAUCCUGGAGUUUUAAAAUAAAUUCCAAGAUGCCAGUUCACUCUACAAGGGAGAAUGAUUCAGCCAGAAAAUCAGCUAAAAUUUUAAGUGAGUUAUGCAUUUGCAUCAAGAUGAUGGUAAAUGUAUAGACAGGUAUAUACACUAUAAGGAGUAAUUAUGACCCAACACACCUGUCUUACACCUGCCUGGUAUUAGACGGGCCUGCUUGCAGAGGAGACAGCGUCUCGUCUCUUGGGUGGCCACGUAAAACUUCAGGGCCUGUUUUGUCAGUAGUGUCUAAUCAGAUCACUCCUCAUCAGUUCCAUGGGUAGACUGGACAGGCUUCAGCCCACUUCCUGGGGCAGGGUGGGUUUUCAGGGGACCGGUCACAAUCACGGAGCACGAAGGUGGGCCUCAUAAAGGUCAGGCCUUGUUCUGUCAAGGAGGUUGGUUACCCACAGCGGGUAUGUAUUUGCCCGUGUGUUUCUGCAUUUAGUGAUUUGGUGGACAUGAACUUAACAUUGUUCAUUUCCUUGCUAUCUAAUCAAAGCCGUCUGACUAAAUUUAAAAAUCCAAGUUUAACUUUUAGAAUCUGUUUUUUUUUUUUCCCCUUUAGCUUGUAAUUUUGUAACCUUUCAUUGUUGGUUAUCAGAAUGAGAAUUAAAGUAAGUUUAUUUUGCUGAUUUUUAUUUCUAGCUAACAAUAUAGCUAUGUUGUUUAAAAGACCUUCUUAAAAUAAUAGCUUAUCAUAAUAACAAUGCUGAUUAUGAAACUAUGAUUUUAAAUUAUGAUUUUUACAAAUAGUAAUUAUUAAUCUCUUAUAGACACCUGUACCCAUGAUGAAAUUGUGAGAGGCUGAAGAAAGUAUAGAUAUAGUAGCUGUAUAUUUAGACUGAGUGGUUUGAGUGGCUCAUAAGUUUCCAGAAUUGCAUAAGAUAGAAAUACAUUGGUAUUAGUUAAUAUGCACAACAAAUAAUUUUAUUUAAAUCCACACAUAAACUUCAUUUUAUCUGCAAAUUAUUCCAUCGAUUGUGUCAUCUGCCUUUUGUUUUAUAUUGUUAUCAAAGUGACAUCAUGACAUAGAUGCUAGUUGUUUUUUAAAAGUCACAAAUUUGUAUUGUGGGGCAUAGGUAUCAUUUAUAUGAUACUUUACUUAAACCAGCUCAUUAGCAAUCUACCAUGCAUUGAUGAUAAUAUUCAAAAUUCCUGAUUCCAUACUAAAAUCACUAUGUCUGGAGGAACGUGGGGAACUGAUCUCGAAUGUGUAUACUUUACACAAUAAAAAAUCCUACACGAUAAAGAUUUUUCAAUAAGAUUUUUUCCCCUUUCUGUGGAAUCAAGCCUAUUCCAUCUUAAGCACUGCAUUCAGUGGCAGCAUCAUGGUAGAAACGGGGCCCCAGACCCACCUCCAUACUCCCGUAAAAAUACUCUGUGUCUUCAGAAGCAGUCUUUUUAACCUUCUCAUAGUUUUCACAGCUACGUCUUUCAGAAAUGACACACAACAGGAGUAAGUGUAACUAUUCCUGUCUCCUCGUUGAUGGGGAGACCCAGGAACGCAAGUGGAUUUGUGACAGGACCCCCACGUUUAACUAGCGCCUCCCUCUUCCCUUCUGUGUGCCCCGGUAGUAACUGGCUAACCUCACUGAAGACAUUAAUUACACCAGGUUCACUGUGCUCGCCCUGGCGUCAGUCACAUCCGGUUUAAUCUUUGUGUUACUGUGGUUGGUGUAGUGCGUGGCACACAGUAGGUGCUUUGUGGAAGGUUUAGUGUGAGAAUGAUAAUGCCAUUAAGCGCAUAGCACCUGCUUAGAUUCUGCUCAUCUUUCAUUUCAUGGAGAAGGAGCCACGUGUUAACAGGUAUUGAACUUGAUAAUUAUCAGUCACAGCCACCCCAUGAUUACUCUUCACAGUGGGAAUGUAAACAGAUCCUUACUCAUUGUUUUUCUCAGCCACAUUGUUUGGCCUCAGCCUCUUAGGUAUUUGAAGAGAUGGAUUGAUGAGAGCAGAGCAGAGCAGGUGACAGGCUUCGGGCCACAGGGAAUGUGUGGGCAAGUGAGUUUGCCUUUCUUUAUAUAACUGAAUCUUCCAUAUUUACCUGGAGAAAACAGAAGUAGCUAGAUGGCUCCUUUGGUUAUGGCUUAGGAUGGACAUUUAACAAUGCUUUUUUGGCUCUCUCUCUGUUUUUUAAAUAUAACAAUCUUCAAAUCAAAAACUGCAUCUUAAAAAUGCCAAGCACUUUAAAUAUUUGCUCUCUGUACAGACUUGAUGACUUUAAGUCUAUGCGAUGUCCGCAAGAUAUGAGCAAAGUAAAAAUAACAUUUCCCUGUCCUCAAAUCCUUUUGAAGUAGGAGUCAGACAAAAACAUUUAUUUGCUCUGGUAUUUUAGGAUAAAUUUAAUGACAGAACUAGACUAACUGUAAAACUUGAUCCAGUAUAUUGUGGGCCGAUUGUUUAAGAUGGCACUUAAAAGAGGGUGAUAUACACACAGAGAUUUGAUAGAAAUAAAUUUGGUAAUGAUGUUUAACAUAUGAAUAGUGUGUGCCUUAAUUUAGGGGGACUAAAAUAUCAUGAAUGGUAGUAUAAAUUUAAUUUAGUCAUCUCUGGAUAAAGUACAGGUGAACAAUUUGGUGUUUAUGUAAGUUAAAAGUGGCUGAGAAAAUGCUUCAACUUCUAUAAAGCAAGAUUUACUUAUUUUUCUGUUCCCUUGUUUGAAGCUUGUCACUUAAUAGACAUUUUAUAGUUGUUUUUUUUUUUUUUUUUUUCUGGAUGAAUUUAACUCACAGCGGAACAGUUGAAAACAUUUGCAAGUCAUGAUGUUAUAUAAUCUGACUUUUUUCCAUCUUUAAAAGUAAAUCACAGUUUAAAAAAAAAUUGUUGAGGAAAUUCAUUUUUAACUUUUGAGCAUCUACUGUGUAUUAGGUACUGUCUAGGUAAUUAAGGUAUUCUUGGAUAACAAAGUUAGCAGUUACUCAUGAAUAAAUAACUGAACUUAUCCACUUAGUGUGCUUUAUAGCAAAAAGUACAAGCUUGUGUUUACAUAAGAAAUUUGUUUAGAUAACAUUGCUUUUUCCCUUUAAUGAACCUUCCUCUAGAGGCCAUGUUUUCUUCAUUAAUUUGUAUUAAUAAUUUUUGAAAUGAAGCAAAAUGUUCUCAUACUUUCUUUCUAAAUGUUUCUUUUUGUCUCCUUUUAUUUAUAAGUAAGCACUAACCUUUUGGGGAAGGUUACUAGGAGCUAACAAGUAGCAAUAUAAUGUUUGAUGAAUCUGAGCCAAGGUGACUAUUUCUCUCUAAUGGAGGAUGACAACGACGGAUUUAAGAAGUCAUCCCCUUAUUGUCUCCGGCACAAAAACCUUCCGCUUGCAUCUUUCAGCUUGUAUCACCACUUCUAAAGGAUCCAUGGGCAAACUGCUGAAUUUUUAUUAAUCAGCUUAACUUAAUGAGAUGAAAAGACCUUUUCAAAAGAAUGAAGAAGGCAGAGACAGAGACUGAGAACCACUCUAAUUCUUUUCCAUGAAAAAACCAUUUUCCUUCCAGAUUUUUUAGGGAAGGCAUAUUCAGCCCUGUUUCCAGGUAAUUCAUCUGGCUCUUCUUUCUAAUUUUCACACAUUUAGGGACUUUCUCUAGCCGUGUGCUGCCUUUAUUAUUGUUUUUUAAAGAAAGUAGACAGCUCUAAAGAAGAGUUAAUGAGAGUUGAGGGAGGGGGAAUACCUUUGGGAAGGGAGGCAGGAAGGCUUAAGCUGAUAAAACACGACUCUUUUUUUGAUGGGGACUCUGUUUGGAUAACUUUGCCUUGUCUAAAUUCUUCUCUCUCCCCGUCCUUCCUGCUCACCCCUUCCCCUUUCUUUCCCGCCACGUCUUGUCAAGCCUCCUUCAUAAACGGUAGCAGCUGGAGACCUUUUAGUGGCAUUCAGGGAUUACUUCCCUUCAGGGUUUUAAUAAGCCCUGAUGCUUCAAACACAGUCAAGACGCUUCUGGAGACAAUCGCCAUUCAGGCUGGGGACCGUGGAAGCUUUCAGGGCCCAGAUGGCUGGAUCCAGGUGGGACCCUGGGGUCCACGGGGCCCAGCAGGUCCCAGUAGCAGGGAGUCCCCUGGAAGGGCAGACUCGGAAGCAGUCAGGAGAGGGAUGGGUCUCUGCAGUCACGAGGGGCUCCGCCCCAUGCUUUCUCAGCCUGCCUGACUGCACGCUCCCUUAAAUUGUUGGAUUUAACUCUGACCAGCCAGGGCUGCCACCACUCAAGUCCCGUGGUCCCAGGCUUAUCAGUCCCCAUGGGAGAUCCACCCCCCCAGUAGUGGGGACCCUGGGGCAAGAUGCUGGCCUCAUUCGGCAGAUCUGCUGAGGUGUUACUUAAAGGCUGAGCCUACUGGAGGGCAGGAGGUUCCGAGUGCCUCAGUGAUGGGAGAGACGUGUCUUGAGGCCCUAAAAGCUUUUUUAUGUCACCUAGUGAUUUAUCCCAAUCCGCGGCUUUUAAAAUUUAGUUCUUAAGGUAACUCAGGCAACCUUUAUAGAGGUGGUGCCCUGUGGGUUCUUUGGGUUCAUGUAAUGUCUGAUUUUGUCUUUGUAGGUGGGAAAAUUGGGAGGCAAGAGAACAUUCUAGAUGUCACACAGAGCCAGGGCUCAGCAGUGCCCGUCUCGCUCACUCGCCAGUAUUUAUCUUUGUAACUAAUGCGAGCCCAGUGUGACUGCAGCUCCAGGAAGCCAUAUUCUCUGAAAAGAAGGAGUAAGCUCGUGCUGCGUCUUGCCUCUUCACAUAUCUGCAGUCAGAACCUAGAAUUCUUAAAGAAAAAAAAAAAACAACUAAGGGAAAAACAAUCUUCUGGACACACGUGCCUAUCGAUGAAACAGAAUAAAGGAAAUAUAAGUAUACUUGUGUACAAAAUUUGAACGCUCAGCCCCCUUUUUCUGCGCUCAGGGCCCAGCUUUAAGUCAAGAUGUGAGCAAAUUGUUUUAUGUUGUCUUCUGUGAAAUGAUUCCAACCUUAGGUAUUUGCACGUAGCGUGUGAUUUUACAUAGCAACAAAGGCAUCCGCUGACUGAGUAUUUGGUUCAUUGUGGGUUAAGAUGUCUACUAACGUUGCAUUUGUACUUCCGGAUUGAGGGUAAGACUGCUUCAAACAUUGUCUUCCGCGAUGUGAUUUUUGCAGCCUUCUCCUUAAACCAUGGCGUCUCCGGCUCAGUUUCUAUGUCAUUAUUCUUGCCCGUGGACUCUGGCCUCCUAUGCGCGGUGGAGUGAUAAAGCUGUGUUGCUAGGCAGAGUUCUGCCAGGCAGCUCAUGCUGGGCUUCAUAUCUGUCAUUGCCCCGCUUUCAUGUUUCUAUGAGGAUGGAGAUGAGUUGAGACAGAAUAUCAUUGGGAAUAGGCGCAUAGCUAAGUGCCCAGGUUUCCUGAUUCUCCAUUGAGUCAUCAUGAGUGUCUCUGAACAGCACCAGCGGUAUUCUUGGCACGCAAGGCUCAGCGGGAAUAACACUGAAAUAGCAAAGAUCGAAACCUGCAUUGCUGGAAUAUUCUCGGCUUGCUCUACGACCUUUUUGGUCUCCCACCUUUGAAUCUGCGCCUAAAGCCUCAGUGCCUCUACGGGAAGAUCAGGGCCGCCCCAAAGAAUGCCAGGCGGAGGGCAGGAGACAUGAGAAUAAAAGGAGCAGUUGGUGACAGGAUCGUAUUCGUUUUUUUCCAGCAUUCAUGGAAUUUAUAUCAGAACCAUGGGACUUUGACAUCACAUGCAUUAAAAAAAAAAAUCAAAAGAAAUUCUAGUUUUUCAAGAGCAAAAUUUAAGAAGGGAUUAAAAAAGAGAAAGAAGCUUUUGUGACAAUUCAAUAAUAUGACAGUUCUAUAAAUGGAGGGUUAGUCCCCCAAAAAUUUGCCUUCAUAAAGACAAAGUAUCAGUGUUGGGUCUUCGUAGCUAACAAAAAUAACUGGUCAUUUGCUUCCUCCCAUGAAGUGUUUGGCUGUAUGUAUCUGUAAAUUAACACGACCCUGCCACUGAAUGUGUUUAUUAGGCUUUUCAAAAUGUCUGCCGGGCUUUGGAAGCUCAGAACGGGAGGCGGUUGGUCUGCUUCAGCAUUUCUCUGUAAAUGCUCCUCUCAUGAUAUGCCUGAAAACCUUCGAUAUUAUAAUAAUGCUAAUAAAAAUGGAAAACUCUGAGCUCUUUAGAGAUGCAUAAAGAAGUGUGAUUUCUCUGUGACCUGAAUAACUCUUGGAAUCGCUGCUCCGGCCCUUUGAAAGAAGGCGGCUGUACUGUACUGCUUUGUGCCCCUUUGAACCUCUAGCUAUCUGACUAUUUUAAGGAUGCAAAUAAUGGAAGAGAAUCUAACUCGGGUUCGACUCUGAAGGACAGGUGGCAUCCCCUCCCCCCGGGCCCCCCACCACCGUGCAGUCCCCUCUGCCCCCCCCACCCUGCGCAGUCUGUUGAACAGUGCUAUCUAGGCUGGCUUCUUAAAUGAGAGGUGAUCCUGUUGAUGAAUAAAAUUAAAACAAUAAUACAUUUUUUUUUUCCCCACUUGUGCACCUUUUGGGUUUUGUCCCUUUGAGAAUCGUAAAUUGGAUUUGUUAUCGCGACCUUUCAAGAGGCACAGCUCUGGCGUCCGGUGUUAAUCGCCGGCCGGCAGGGACCCGGGUGGCUGGAGGGAUGCUGGGGUGGAAGGCGGACAGCCGUGUCUCUGGAGGCGCGUGGCUCUGGGAAGCAGGGCGAUUCAGGGGGAGCUGCUUCCCGCAGGGACCCCUUCUCUCUGCUGAGCGCUCUUGGUGGCGCCGUGGACAGGAGGUGAGGCGUCUGCAGUCACACAGCCUGGGGGGCCCCCGGCGGGCUGCGGUGAUAUUGCUUCCCCCGCGUGGCAUGGCUCAGCGUCUGGGGCGCUUGCUGGGUUUCAAGCCCUUUGUCGGCUUAGGAAUUAUUUUCUCUCAUUUUGACGUGGAUCCACUACUCCUGCCACUCAUGUUAAUAACCAGGGCAGAGAGAGCAAAGGCGGCCAGGGAAGAUGGGAGGGGGGCAGACUGGCUGGCAUGGCAGACAGUUUUAAUCACCACUUUUAUGGGUAAUUUUCGUGAUGAGGGAUUGCGCCUGUUGAUCACAGGAAUGCAAAUUAUCGAUAGUAAAUGUGCAUUGUUUUCCUCACUUUGCGGGAUACCGAAGGCUGGCAUUAAAAAAGGACAUCGUCAUCCGAACGGUAGCACCCAGGCACCUUUUGUUAGACAUUUAGAGAGGACACCCUUUUAAUUAGACUAAGUACUUGUAGUUGGUCCUUCCAGUUUCCUGCUUACUUAACUGAACAGCCACUGAAUUAUUUGACAUUAUUUUUCUUUUGUGAGUUAUCGUAGCUGCAUAGAGGUGGGCACUGAACGUGUGCCAUCCGUGUGCCAGAGGAGGCCUGUCACACCCAGGACUCCCUGUGUGAGGGAGCCGGGAGGCUUUGCGUGCGCAGUUAGCCGGCGUCGGGCUGGGAUAGACGGCACGGUGCUUGGUUAAUUUAAGAAGAGCUUUCCAGACUCCAGUGAAGUUAUCUGUUGGCUGGAGGGAUGGACACUGACAGACUGAAGUCUUGGCCGAACUUCUGGAAUCAGCCGAGCCUGCCCGCGGCCCUGCAGACAAGGGGGUGCUGUGCCACGGUGGCCCCGCUGCCCUCUGAGGACGGGGUGCCCCGUCGGAGCGUGGCCGGGUCCCCCCAGCAGCGGGGGACGCCCCAGGGGAGGUUGGCGGCGCCUCCUUUCCCACUCCUCCAGCCGGGCCAGGCCCGGAGCCCCCGUGUCCUGUGCAGGGAGCCCCCUCUCGGGACCCCCCUGCUCACGGCCGUCGGGCGCAGAGGCCGGCGGGGGACGAGGAGGAGGCUUUGCAGAGGGCACGUUCGGCGAGCACAGCCAGGCCGGAAGACUGUCCUGCACGCGGCCCAGCGUCUGGACGCAGGUCUGCAGGAGGCGGAGGGGCAGCCUGCGGUCCGAGGGGGUCUUCCUGCCGUGCACGCGGCCUGAAGCUGACAUCGCCGAGGAGGCCGCAGGCUGGAGGUCCGCCCUGGUUGUGUUGCGUCAUUGACUCAAUGGAGUCUCCUAAUCACAGCUGCUCAAGAGGGGCGCAGAGGGAGCCACAGACCCGGGGGCGGGGUGCCCAGCCGUCUGAGGACUGGGCAGAGUGGUGGGUCUUCUGAGCCGCAGACAAGACACCUGGAGGCCGGCACGAGACGCUUAGCUUCUGAAGCCUUUGCUUCAGUGCAAGCGACGUUCUCUAUUACAAGUGCAAGCCCUGCCUCUGAAUUAACCGCGGCGGCACUCAGGUGCACGCUGCCAGCCCUCUUCAGGCAAGAGCUGGGUCUGUGUUCCUGAUGGCUUUGCUGAACGCCAUUUUCCUCUUGCGGUGCUGGAUUAAAACAAAAAAAAAAAAACUCAGGGAAAUUUGUGAGCAGGUGGGUCGUAGGUGGCUUGGACUUGCACGCUCUGACAGCUUAUCUGCAUCUGGUGAAGGUGGCGGCUCUGGGAGACCGUGAUGGGGGAGUUGUUAGGGAGACGGGGCGUCCAGGGAGGAGUGUGCUUGUCCACUCUAGGUCUGUUCCUAGAUAAGGGCCACUCGUGCUAAGCCUGUGAGGCCGCUUUUUGACACCGAAGGUUCAUUUAUAUUUUACUUUCUGCCCUCCUGUGUUCCCACCCCGACUCUCCUCCUCCCCCGGACAAACUUUGUUGAGAGGUGAAGAAGAAAAAGAAGGCAAACUUUUGAAUUUUCAGCUGAAAAGGUGCAAGUUCAGCUUCCAGGUAUCACAGUCUCUGUCAUGAUGCGUAUUGAUUUUAAAUGUCACAAUAGAUUAUUUUUUAUUAUUUUGUAGUAUAGGUUAGUAAAACCUGAAAUCCCCGGGGUGGGGGUGGGGGGAAUCAUUAGUUUUAAAAGUUUGUACAUUCAAUGACCAGAAAGUGAAAUAGACAGUUUUGUCUUAAAACAGUUUUUUUAAGAUAUCGAUUAACUGGCCCCAACUCUACUGCAAAUGUUUGGAGACUGAGAAGAAAUGCGUGUAGUGGCAUCCCCAGAAGAGAGCCGGCUAGCCUGCUCGCUGUUUUAUUUAAGUGUGUGCGAGUGUACGCCCCUCCUGGGGGUCAGAGAAGAUCACAGGCCUCCUCCAUUUCUCCUCCUCAUGUGUUGAAAUAUGUUACUAGUCCUAGCAGUCUAGUUCAAAGAUGUUUUUAUUCGAACUUGCGGACAAUCUCUUAGGACAUAAACUUUUGUAUUGGCUUCUCACUGCUGUAGGACAUAUAUAACAUUUCAAACACAGCUUUAAAAGUCAAGGCUAAUGACAGGAUAACUAUAUUUAUAGGUUUGUUUAAAAUUGGCAUCUAUUUUUAACGUGGUUACAGUAUAUUGGCUCUCCUAACCUUAAUGCAAGAUUAGAAAAGCAAAGCAAAUAUCAAUCUACUACAGAUAUGAGAAUACAGAUCGACAAAAGAAAGGGUAAGAAGUGCUUAAAUAAGAAAAAGUGGCACUGGAGAAAAAGUUGGGGACUUUCCCCAGCAUCAGCAACCCCCAGAAGAUACCUUUUCCUAUCCAUUGAUCUGUAAAGUCGAUACUUAAAGAAUAUUAGUGCAGUGUGCUUGGGGAGAGGUGAAGAGGUGGGAACUAAUAUUUAUAAAGUGCCUACUCCCGCUGUGCUGGGCCAUGACUUGCUAGUCCUCUGAGCAAAGAAUUAUCAUCUUGAUUUUAGGCACGGGGAAGAUAAAGUUUUGAAGAUACUAUGUAACUGGCCAAACUCAUAUAGCCAGUAUGUGGUUCAGGUAAAACUUGUGCCACAUCACGCUGCCGGUCACGUGUGCACAUGUUGUACAUGCGUGUGUGUGUGUGUGUGUCCCCGAUCGGGAUAGAGUAGCAGGGGCUGAAGUAUCCAGAGCAAUUAGAAAGAAAACAGGAAGAUGGAUAGAUGGAUGGAUGGGAGGGAGGGACAGAGGAAGGAAUAAAAGUUUUCCUCUGUGAAUCAAAGGGAUUCAUCUGCUUAUUCACCCUCCAGUGGGAAGAUGAAAGCUAUUUUAAGUGUUAAGACCAACACUGUUCUAGUCUGUUCUUUUGGCUGCACUAAAACUCAGGUGUAAGCCAGUCCUGGGAGCCAGCAAGAGUCUGUUUCGAUGGAUGUUCAUUAUGACACAGGUGAUAAGACUAGAGCUCGGAAAAGUAAAAGGAUUUUUUUUUUAAGUAAAAUGUGACGUCAUUGCCUUAAGUUGUUGCAGCAGCUAUUUUUGGGCACACAGCAGCGCUGGGUCGCGGUCGUUGUGUGGCUGGGGCGCGGGAGGGAGGGCCUGCGUGCUCUGAGUGGCUGGGGCGCGGGAUGGAGGGCCUGCGUGCUCUGAGUGGCUGGGGCGCGGGAGGGAGGGCCGGCGUGCUCUGAGUGGACCUGAAGCUUGGGGGCUGUGUGGUUUACUGUUCACAAGUGUAGCCUCCCGCUCGUGUCUCUGUGUUUGAUCGCCUUCCCACCUUGAAGCGACCUGAGUGAUAUUAUAUAGGAAGCAGGAGUUUUAUUAAAAUAGGAGCGAUAUGCUUUCCCCUGGAAACCGUUUCAUUCAGUGCCAAGAGAAGCAGAAAUCCUUCCCUUCCCCCCACUUCCUCUGGGUUCCCCAUAUUGGCUGUACACGGAGGAAAGAAAGCCCCUUAUUGAGGACAAUAUUGAAGGGAAGGGAGGUCAGGGCAGGCAGGCGAAAGGGAGGUGCUUGGAGGGACAAUACAUUCUCUGUGUUAUUUUAAAUAGUAUGUGACAUUACUUCUCAGUUGAAGCUGAAAGUCAAAGCCUCUUGAAAUAUGUAUGGAUCAACAGGACCACUUUUGCACCCAAAAAAGGAGGAAGGUGCUGGCAAUGAGCCAUGCUGAAAUCCUGGGUUGAGAGUUUGAAGGUGGAAUUGGGGGAGAGGAGGGCAGAGGUCACAGCAGCAACAGGAAGUACUGUUUGCAGACGGGUAGGUCAGUCUUAAAUCUCCAGUUAGCUCCGAUUUAUUGUUCCUGCAGAGUGACCGCUAUCUUCCAGCAGUGCAGUUUUCUACUAUAUGGCUAUAUUUAGUUAGAAGAUUUUUUUUUUUUUAAUUAUCAAAUGAAGGUUUCUCAGAGUUUGCCUUCUCCUGGCAGGUAACUUGGGUCUCAGGCUGAGUUAUGGUCUGUGGCCCCAUUAGAGUCAAGAGCGCCUGCUCCCCCCAAAGGGUCAUAUGCAUGCUUUCCUGCCUAAUACCCAUAAGAGGCUUUAGGGGGGAAGGAGAAGAAUAUAAACACAGAAACCACAUCCUAACAGCUGCCUCCAGUUAGCUCUGUUUCCCCCCCAGCUUUUAAAUCUUAGAGCGGCAUCUAAUUUGUCCCACAUUGCUUUCCUCCCAGUGGAAGCGCUAUCCCUUCGCCCUGUAGCUCUCUUUGAGCGAAAGCAAACAGUCGUGAAGAACUAACUAGUUCUGCUAGUUUAGAUCACUGUCAUUAGGUCGCUGGUUGUCAGGUGCCUGGGAACGAGAAGGAGACACCCAUUUGUAGACGGUGAGAGAUUUAGAACAAAGUCUGAAUCCAUUUCGGGGCCAGUGGGCCUAUCAAAAUACCUCUCAACAAAGCACUCCAUGAAGUUAGUUGACCAAAUAAAGGAGCUUGUGAACCAGUGAGUGGACUACUGUGGUUUGAAUAGAUAUGCGACUUUAACCUAGGAUGACCAAUCGGAAUCAUCUAGGGUGUUUAAAAAAUUCACAGACAUGCCCAACUCCUUCCCCUGAUAUUCUUCCUCAAUUUUAAUAAGCCUGGGAGUGAGGCGGGUAGACUUAAACAGAUUUGUGUUCUGGCGGAUUGCAACUUGCACUAAUUAUAUUCAUUUUUAAAAAUUUCUAGAUUAUUUCUUUCUUGUGUAUUUCAUUCAUGUCUGUAUUUCUUCCUCCAUGUUUCUUUGUUUUUUUCCUUCUUAAUAUAGUAAGGCUGAGGAUAGAUGCUUCUGGGGCAGGAAGAAUACUGAAUUAAGUUGUUUCCUUCACGGAGACUAGUCUUCUGUUUUUCCUUUCCAGUUCCUGUGCAUUUCACAUUGCUGCUGAGAUAGUACGGCAUGAGAUCCACACAGCCAAUGUCUUUGUCUGCUGACUUUUCAAAAGGGAAAUUGGUCCAGUUUAAAAAAAAAAAAGAAAAUUAAGAUUAGUGUUAGUGACAGGGAACAGCGGUUCUCGCAUAGAGACUUAGCUCUCCAAUAAUGUCUUAUUCAAGAUUUAUUGGUCAUCUGAAUUUUAUUGCAUAUAUGCAGAAUACUGCUGGCUCGUGUCCACUAUACUGUGAGAAAUAUUCGUGCUUCACCUUGAAAAAGGAGUACCUGAAUUAGUCCUUAUAAAAUCACCUUGUCCUGGUGAUACUGCUGAAGAACUGAUAGUCUUUUCAUAAAGUAAGGAAUAAACCUAUCACCGGUUGCUUUAAAAGGUCAUUGUCUCUCGAAAAGUAGAUUAGCUCACUUUGUUCCAUGGGCAGGAAUCAUCACUUUGGAAAACUGUACAUACCAAGUAAAUUUCUGCUCUCACUUUUGGCUUGCUCUUGUAAAAGAGGUUUCAUGCCUACCAGUUUUCACUUGCUAAUGUAAGUCACAGCUCCUCACAGGUAGAGUGGCAGGACACCAAGGAUGCUGCGUCUAGUGUGCUUUUAAAGUUUCUCCUCUUAACAAAUGCAGAUUCCCAAGCAUGGGACGCCUGCACAGAAACACUGACGACAGAUUCGGCGAUUAAAUAUUUUGGAUGUUGUUGGAGGCCAGUGGUUAGGAAGUGAGUCACAGCAGUAACUGAAGUGACUCAGUUGCGUUUUAUGGAAGAAAGUGACUGAAAUGGCACCUCUCCCUUGGUUCGUACGUAUCAUGCAGAAUGGACCCGCUCUUCUCCCGAGAUACAGCCUGUGGAUCUCUGCUACGUGUAAAUCCUCAUGUAACAGAGACGGUGAUUUAGCCUGUCACUUAGAAAAGCCUGUGAAUUUAUGUGAAGGGAAGGGAUAAACGUUGCCAUGAUAUUUGCUGGAAGAAUCAUAAUUAACUCUGUAUUCUCUCCUUUCUAAGCUAAAAAUGGGAUAGGAUGCGUUGGGGGCGGGGGGGUGGGGGGUGGUUGGUUCAGUUCCGCUAGAAGGAAUAAUGUUCCACGUUGAUACAUCUGAAACUACAACCUUCCUCUACUAACUAAUCCGUCUAGGGUGUUCAGAAAGGAGGAGUUCGGCCUAAAUCUGCUUAAUCCUUUAAACAAUGAAACAGUUAUAACUGCUCUCAUUGCAAAUGGUUCUAAAAUGUCAUAGUCAUUGCCAGACGGGGCCCGGUAGAGGAUGGCGAGUUUUCUCAAUGAACCAGGACUCUCAUUAAGAACACCAGUUAUUGAACUCUUUGGUAAUACUGGAAUGUGCUCCGGAGCCUUUGAGGUCUUGUAGGUUUAGCCUGACUUUUUAUGAUAUUUCCCAGAUGGCUGGCUCUCCUGCCUCUUGCCAGUGUCGAGGGCUUUUUAUCCCAGAGCCCACAGCCUCUGUGCUCCUCUAAUUAGUAUUUUUCUUUUCUUUUUUGCUCCCUCUUCAUAGUUUCUCUUCUCCUCUGCCACUUUUAAACCACCGAGAACUUGCUCUGACUUCCAGAUUCCCAAAUUGGUUUUUCUUUCCUUCUUCCCUUUAUAACCCAGGAGUGGUAUAAGGAUUUCAGGGUGAAUCCAGAUAAGAAUUUCCUUGUAAUUAACUCAGGUUAUUACUCGUGUCUCCAGCCUGUGGGACGUGGGGUGGGCCCGGGAGGGUCUGACUCCCCACCUUCCUGUUCCAUAAAGCAUGUGGGCUUUGGCUUGCCAUGUUUAUUUUGCUUGAAUGCUCCUUUGCUUUGUUCGUGAUGUUCUGUGUUUGCUGAUGAAAUUUUCACCCCCAAACAAGAAGCAAUUCCACUUUCCCUUCUAAAAGCAGUUAACAGGCUCUGAUUUCUGUCUUUACCCAAUAGUCUCUUUGCCUUUUUUUUUUCCUUCUUGGAAGGGUUAUUUAUUGGGACUACACAUCCACAUACAUUAACAGGCCUGUUUAGAUGUAAGGAAGGCCCAACCCUGCCCCCUGGCCCCUGCACAGUAUUAGGACUUACAGACGUUUUAUAAAAGGCUGGGUUUUCGAGAGUCAAGGGACCAGUGUCUGUCGAUUUUCCCAAUUUAACUCCUGUGUUAAAUGGAGACUGUGAAAGGGCUACUCACACUGAAUGUCUUUACUUGGAAUUCCAUUAAUAAAGCGCACGUUUCCCCAGUGAUCAUAAAUUCCCAUUCCUUCUUUGCUUCUGGUUAGCUCUCUUGUCUCUUUCCCAAGAUUAACUGGAGUGUUAGAUUCAGAGUAAUGCUCAUUGGAAGUAUUCAGUAAAUUAAGGAAAAUUUAAAUAUAUGCAUUAAGGCCAGAAAGGGAAAAAAAGUUCCUGGAAAGCUGUGAAUUACCUCCAUCCCCAAACAUAGCUUUUUGAGAAAACAUCGAAUGUGUUUAAUGAGUACUUUGGCAUGCAGAGUUUGUUGUCUCGAUGAGUCAUCAGCGUGCAGUCACAUUAUCAGGGUUCCAGGUUACCCCCACAAGUUAGUCUAGUUUUUUUCUGCUUUUUGUUUUGGUAAAGGUACUAAUCAAAAGUAAAAGGAGACACUCUGAAAGCAUGGGUUAGAGAACUCAGAGCGCCUGGCAGUGUCUAGCUCAAUCCACACUCUCACCCUUAGGAAAUGUCCUGAACCUCAGUGUCACUCAGUCCUUCUGUGUUUCAAAUGUAUGAACUCUUCUUUAAAGAGAAGAUCAUUGCCUCAUCCUCUCAAUCAGCUAAGAAGUUUUCCCUAUCAUUCUGCAGUCUUCCUGAGAUUGAAUUACACAGAUUUCUUAACCUUGUUUACAUUUGUACCCUUGAUCUGUUUAGGGUGACUUUUCAGAAUGGUGUUUACUUACAGUCCUGAGAAGAUGGUGUAGCCCAGGGCAUGGUGAGCAGAGACUGGUGGUGAGUUACCUGGUGCAUCUCACAGGUUAUGCUUUGAGGUUUACAUUCUUUCCCUUUGAGAUUUCCCCAUUGUUGGUCUUGUCAGUGGACCUAAGCUGAGAUAGAGGUAGGAGUGUAUUAUGAGUUUCUUUGCUUGCCAACAGGGCCAAAAGAUUGUGGACAAAGCUUCCUUCCCUUGGCAUAUAAUACCAAUGGUGCUUAUUUCUAGAAAUAAUGCAUUGUGAAUGUAUUACCAUGAAACCAUCUGAACUCGUCUUUAGAAGUCACUUUUCGAUUCAGUAUGAACCCCUGCUGGGUUAAUGAGUUCUCUAAGCUCGCCGCAUGCUUCAUGAAGACUCCUUGCUUUAGUGUCUCAUAUCCCAGGUUUGGGGGUAAUAAGAACUUGAUCAUCAUGUUUUUCAGCUCUCACUCUUAUAGACAAAGGGAUUCUAAUCCUUUUAAGUCUUCUGGGUCUCUCCCUAUCUGGAUCACUGUCAUUUCUCUCCUCUUGACUGUCUGCAGUCUUUGAGUGGUAGGGUCCGAAUUUAAGAUGGAAUACCAGGUGUCAGCAUACUUUAGGUUUGGGUAUUAAGAGGGAAACACUUUCAGUAACUGAGCUGAUUACCAUCAGCUGACAGUUGGCCUUUGGGCUCCAGCAGCGCAUUAGGACGCAGUCUUCAUCGGAGGCUGCAAGUUCCUUUCCUGGGUUCUGACACCCUGUAGCCCAUUGAUCAUCCUCCAGAUGUAAUUUAUACUCGUUUCCCUUUGCCGCCUGCUAUUCCAGUUGCCCACAUUUCGGCUUUCCGCCACUGUUCUGUCUCUUCCCGCAGUCCUGGGGAACCUCCUGCAAUCCGUGUCUUGUCAACUUGGCCUUCAGUUCCCUCUGGUCACCUUGGGUGCAGGACGACUUCUUUUGGGAAGUAGCCUUUGAGGAGCCCCAGCCAGCAGUGGCGGCCCAGACUCCUCACCCGACGGCACCCAGGGGCGCCAGCACCCAGCCUCCUGCCGCUCCGGCCGGGGCUGUAGUCACCAUCGGCCGAUGACUUCAUAGUUCCUUUUGCAAGUGUGGAACCUAUUCAGGCGACUGGGGAGAGUCCUCAGGGGAGGCUGCUGCUUUGGGCUCUAGCGGACACUCAGGAUUUUCCAGCUGUGUUCCUCGACGCUGCUGCUCCUGCGUGUCUAUAAGGCACGCCCUAGGAGAUGCAUUUUGAAAAUGAGAGCUCUCGCUGGAGUCUUUACAGCAAGCUCCCUACAGGAAGAUUUUCCUGGAAACGUACACUGGCAAUCACUCUUCUUGCCUCAGCAAAUCUGCAAAGUUUGUCACGUGCUCUAUAGGUAGCUACUUUGCAUUCAGUAUUUGAUGAUAAGUCUUUCUAGACUGCAGUGAUACUUAGGACGGUAGCCUGCCAGGCUCCUCUGUCCACAGAAUUCUCCAGGUGAGAAUACUGGAGUGGGUAGCCAUUCCUAUCUCCAGGGUCUUUUACGGACCCACAGAUCAAACAACCAGGUCUCCUGCACUGCAGGCAGAUUCUUUACCAUCUGAGCCACCAGGGGAGUCCUUAUAAUUACUGUAUGAUUAAAAAUUCUCUAUCAGUUUCUGUUGUCUGUAGAACUUCUACUUGAUUUUACGUUUUACAUUUUGAGUUAACGCAUUCAUGAGGUUAAAAAUCAACCCAAUAUUAAAAGAAACAUAUUGUUUGCCUUCCACCCUUGCCUUUCUCCCCCUGGUCCCCACUAUCCUCUGUAGAGAGAACCUCUUUUAUUAGAAUUUUGAGUGUUCCAUUUUUGUACAAAUACAAGCACAUCCAAAUAUAUAUUUUUAUAAUCCCUUCUUUCUUCCUCAAAGCAUGUUAUACUCAGAGCUUAUUAUAUCCUCUGUUCUGUACCUUGCUUUUUAAAUUGGAGACUUAAAUAUGAAAAUUCCAUAUCAGUACACAGAAAGCUUGCUCAUUAUUCUUUACAACUUCAUUUUAUUGUAUGGAUGUGCUAUAAUUUAUUUAGGCCAUCCCUAGCGGUGGACCCUUGGGUUGCUGGCAGUAAUUUUCUAUAUAAGCAAUGCUGUUAUAUAUAAAACCUUGUGCACACAUUUCAGAUAUGUGCCUACAGAACUUUAUCCUGUUUCCUUGCCCAUUUCCUUGUAGACCUUAUAAGCUGCUAUAAAAGUUGAGUAAACAUGAUAUUUUUUUUAUUUGCUUUAAUAUAUCCACAAUACUUACUAAAUAGGGAAACAACUUUGUCUUGGACUUCAGGAUGCCCCCAAUCCAGAGUUCUGUUUUUCAUUUGAACCUAACUGAUGCCUAAUUCUUUGUGCAUCUUUAAGUUAGAGAAUUGAGCUAAAAGACAGUGAAUAUAAGCAUUCUACAUUCAUAUGAGUUAGAGUUAAACUUUGUGGUAUUUUGCCAUGCAAUGAAAUAUUAAAAUUUUAAUUAGAUUAUUGGCUACUUUAGAGAAAAGGAAUGAAAGUGUUAUAUUACAGUUUAAGAACCGAGAAUUUAAAUGUAACUGGAUGAGCAACAAAUUAAUGUUAUAAUAGACUGGUCAGGGAGGGUUCAUAACUCUGAUUCUGAAUUCUGAAUUUUAUAGACCUUUUAUAUGUUGUUCUCUAGGUAUUCUUGGGUUCAGAAGUUGCUUUGUGGGUGCAUUUGUAAUUCAUAGCCUCCCAAAGGAAAGGCUAUAAACUUCUCAAGUGAAUAAUUCUGUUUUAUUCUCUGGUUUUUCAUUUUCUGUGUAUUCCUCAUCAUACAAAGAGUCUGUGGGCCAUUAUGAAUCUUGCUAUUUCUAUAUUUAAGCAUAACUAGUUUUCCCAGAAUGUAAUUUCCUCUAUUCAUGGAUAAAUUCAGUUUACUGCUUACCAUCUGUCCUUUUGGAGUAUUUAGUAUCCCACUCAGUUUGGUGUCAGAGCCAGUCACUAUGGAUAAGAUGUUAAAAAUAAGGCAGAGACCAGGGCAAGACUCUGGUAAGGGAAGCUACUCACCUCCUCUGAGCUAAGUAAUUUACAGAGGAAUCUCGACUGUAAAAUGUGAGUGAGUAAAAGCCCCGUGUCUUCCCUCUGUGUUACCGAAAGAUGCAUAGUGGUGAGGCCUGGGAAACACCCACAUGGGGUUUGCAAGGAGCUCAUUCCGUAGCGGAAAUGGUAGAUGUUCCAUGUUAUCUCCUACAUGUAUUACUUUAUGAGUUGCUCUUGUCUUUGAAGACUCUCAAGGGUUAUUAGAAAUGGUUAAAAAAAAUUGUUCAAAUGGUCUUUAAAGAUUUUCUUAUUCAAAAAUAGGAAAAUGACUCUGGAAACUGUUAAGAGGUCUACAUUACCGUCCUGUGACCGUUUGUUCUCUCUAGUUUGUUGAAUACUUCUCUCUGUCUCUCUUUAUUUUUUUCUGGCAGUUCAUUAGGAAUUCUGUUGGGGGAUGCACUUCUAUCAGCACAUUAUCAGCAGCUGAAGAAUUUUCAGUUUUCUGCUCACUCAGUGCUUGUAAAAAUUGAAUAUAUAUCGCUUCCCCUUUAUCAUGUUGAAAAUCUCCGGUUUAUGGUCUGUUGAAAUUCAUCUUGUUAUAUUCAAAAUGCAUCUCCUGGAAGCAGCAACAAUGCACAAGACUUGAGUACACCUAAUUCUCAGUGUUUUUGUUUCAAUUCCUUUUCUACACUUUUUACUUGGAGAUAUUUUGUUUUAAUCUUUCCUUCCCCUCUUCUCUAGCCAAGUUUUUUGUUUGUGAAAAGUCAUAUUUUUCCAAGCUAUAUUCUGUGUGAUACAAUAUGGCUGGGUUUCAAGAUGUUCCUCAGCUCUUGCAUCCAGCUACUAAUUCAGCACUCUGAAAAAAAAACCUAAAUGAUGUUUGUGGUGAUGGGUCAGUGCCAGUGGAAGGAAAUAAUUUUGCAGAAGAUGAAUCUAUUUCCAAGUAAUGUUGGCUGGGUUGAAGCUUACAUUGGAAUUUGUUAGGUUGUCUGAUAGAAAACCAAAUUUGACCAAGACAAGGCUGUGUGUACACUAUCUGUCUUUGUCUCCUCCUGUAUACCUUACGCUGUGUGUGUGUAUAUAUAUUAUACAGGCUAUGAUUUCACUUUGAUAGUUAAUGUUAGGCUUUAAAAGGAUUAAAAUAGUAGCAUUCAUUCCCCUUACUAUAUAAACUUUUUUGGUGGGUGUUUUAAAAAAUAUAUUAAAUCAAAUUUUAUAAUAAUGAGCUAUCUUCUAAAACAGUUUUUUUUGUUGUUUUUUUUUUGUUUAAUGUGUCCGGCUGUUUAACUGUAUUUCAUUUAAUCACUGCGCCAGUUUAAGAAAUGUUAUCAAUCUUAAUUUACAGGUGACAAAAUAAGCUGGGAGAAGUUAAAUAACUUACUCAAGGCCAUUGAAUUAAUAAGUGGCAGAGCCAGAUUUUGGGUCUUGGAGUCUUGCUGUCACUGAUCCAAUUUUUAAUUGAUCUGUCUUAGUGAAGUGCCAGUGAGAUUUCACUUUAAGACUUACUUUGUGCUGGUUUUCUCAAUAUAUAAAAUCUCAGUGGUGACAACAGAUUCCUCAAUAUUUUCUCUUGUCCACUCUGGACAGGGGACGGUGGUGUGGUGUGGACAUAGCCUGCUAGUUACAUAUAUCCUGUUGCUGACACUUAGAGACCAGUUUUACAACUUGAAUAACUUUCUGAACGCUUUGAUGCCAGAGAUUGGGCUCUCUUCCAAAUGAUCAAAAUUAUUAUUGAUAAGUUAAUAAAAGAAAAAGGAAAGACAUCUGUUAUCACUUUCUACUAGGAAAAUCACGUUUUCUUCUAACAAGAUAGUUUUUAAGUAUUAAUAAAAUUGUAGCUUUACUUCUUACCCUUGAAUUUUAUUUCUCAGUCUUGAUUUGACAAGCAGAAGUGGAAAGCAGGAAAUAUUUUUGCCUAGACAACUUAAGAAAAAUAAACAUUUGGAGUGUUGUGAUGAUCUCCUGCUGGCAGCGUAAGUCUUCUUACUUGUUUCCACCUGGAAAUAUAAGUGCCCUUUCCCCCACCUUCACUUUUUCAGGUUGAUGUACCAUUUUCCUUGGUAGGUAACGUGCUUGGGGUAGAGUGUAUCCUCAUUUGAGAGAUUAGGGAAUUGAGGAUUGGAAGGCAUAAUCAUCUUGCGCAUAAUACACACAGCUAGCAGGGGCAAAGCUGGGACUCACAUUUUGGUCUGUUCGUCCAGAAUCUUAGGCUUUUGAUCCUGGUGCUGUAGUGUCCAGGCUGAGGGGCGUGGUGUGACUUGUGGCAUUGUGGGGGCUAGGGUGCUCAGAAGCGAGUCCUGCUCUGAAUAAGUGUUACAGUUUUGGAGAGAGUGGAGUUUAUAGUAAAGUAAUUUUAUUUUCCCUGCGCAUCUUCCCUAGAAUGAGUUACCGCUGCUUUUUCUGUACAGGGUAUUUAUUGAAUGAUGAGUUUAAAAGGGUACAUGGUGAUACAUAACAGCCGAUCUUCGUGUUAAUGGUAUAGUUAAGCUUUUUAUGAUCGAGUGAGGUGAUUUUGAUUAUUAGGGUCUGGUCCAGGCUUUGAUCAGACAUAUCCAUUUCAUAAUAAGCCCCCAGUUGUGUAGUGAGUUCUGCCUUUUAUUACACUGUACAGAGUAAUUCCUUUGUAAAGAAUGACUGACUUUUCUUCCUCUUAGGAAGAUUAAUAGUUUUUCACUAUUAAUGAGGUUCCAUCUGCUCAUCUGGCCUUCCACUCUAAAGGUUAUACUUAUUACCAUAUUCAAAAACCAAUCCAACUGUGUAAUCAAAGUUAAAAAAAAAUUUUUUUUAAACCAAAGGUUCAAUCUUGGUUUUUAUAAUGUACUUCUUUGGUUACUAAAGUGGGGAUGGGUAACUCCACUUCCUUCUUUUUCCAUGUUUUCUUGGAUUCCGCUUCGCUGCUGCUUGUCAUCCGUCCACCCACCACAGAUCACACAAAUUAAACUAUAUGAUACGAGAUACAGUACAGAAAGCAAGGGUGCACCCACGCAGCCGCCGUCCGGCCCAGUCUCCUUCGUAUCCAGGGCACGAACGUGAGCCAGGGAGAGCCCCCAGUGCCGUCUGCCUGUGGGAAUCCGAUUCGUGGCCCAUUCCUUUGUGUUCUCCUCCUUUCAAGCGGGGCGCUUCGGCAUCUGCAGCAGAGCCUGGGGGUCCCGCUGCCCGCGACCCCCAACAGGGCAUGUCUCGGGGGCGCCGGGCGAGGGGGCCGGCUGGAAGCUAGCAGGCCCUGACUGCGUAGCUAAAAAUAUGAAUAAAUGAAGUUCCAUACCACAAAUGGAGUAAAGUUUGAUGAUAGGGGAUUACUGGAACAUUUUAUUAACUGGGGUUUUGCUGUAAAAAAAAAUUAGCUUUUGAAAAAAGUUCAACCUCUGAGCCUCUGUGGAAGGGUUUGGCCGGGGAUGGUGGUGAUGACGGCCGCUGGCACGGUUAUGCAAACCCUGCGCCGUCACACCCUGCAGUCACCGAGCUCAUUUUUCCUUUUUACUCCCCUCCCCUCCUGCCCCCACCCACCUUCCCACUUCCCUUGCCUUUCCCUGCCUUUUCAGGCCCACCCCUCAUUAUCAGCCUGGGGUAGCGCUGCUGACUCAUCCAAUCUCAUGGUUUGGAAGGUAACGACAAAUGAGUGUCAGUACGCAUAAUCUUUAACAGUCCACCUGACUUUCCAGGUUGGUCUUUGAUAAAAAGGUCCUCACGAUCGUCCACUGUCACAAAUGCUGUCCUUUUCAGUACAGGUGAAGCAGGUUGUAGCAACAAGGCAGAUACACCCAAGCUUCCAGUAUGAUUCUAAACAAGACGCCCUUUCUCCAUUCAAGUGUAAUUUUUCCAAGGGCCAGUAAUGAAACGCAGUGAAAGCGCAAGCACAUACCUUGUUCUGCCUGAUCCUUUUUUACUAAACAAAUAACCUUUUUUUUUUUUUUUAAAGAAACAAGGGCUCUCUACUAGGCAGAAUAUAAUUCUAGUUUAGUAGCUUUACUUAAAAAAAAAAAACAAACUGGAUUAUAAAUAACUAAAGGAUAUUCAGGUGGAAAGAGUGUGCCGGCUGGGUCAGGAGAGGGAUGAGCCAUGAGCUGUCCUGGGAGACCUAGGGUAAGUUUGUAAUCACUUGAUGAGGAGGGGGUCCUUUUACAGCGGCAGCCUGCCUUUCAUUCAGCAUUGUCUUUUUGGUUCUGUUUCUUUUUUUCCAUUUACGUCUCCUAGAUCUGUGGUUCUCAACACUGGCUGCACGUUUAGAAUCCACUUGGGGCUGGGGAGAGCGUGCUGGGACCCCACCCUUGGAGAGUCCCGGUGUGAUUGGCAUCAGGUUGGUGUCAGGUGAGGCCAGAGGUGGUGGGUUUGCUGUCUCUCCAGGGGAUUCUAAUAUGCAGCCGAAACAGGAGCUGUUGGCCGCGGAGGUUGACCAGCAGUCUGAAUAAGUGGGCACGCCUUAAAACUGCAAAGUAAGUGGGGUUUUGAGUCAGAGACCGAGCAGUUUCCCCACUGAAGUCUCAGCCUUCUCGACCACUUGUCAUCGAGCAGACUGGCUGGAAAUCUCUGCUUCCAGAGGGAACAGAUGUGUUCUCCUGAUGCACAGCCACUGAAUGGCUCGAUGCUGAAGUCCGGUUCUCGGCUAGGAAGAGGCGCAGCCUUCUAGAACAGUCUGGCCUUGCUUUGACAGUCACGGAUGGAUGAUUGACGCAGGGAGUGUCAUGUAGAUACAUCUGAUGGAUCUCUUGCCCCAGUCAGGGUCCCUCAGCCACUCUCAGAGCUCUUUCAAACCUGGUGCCAAUGUACAUCCUUGGACAACAAGGAAUUUGCACAGAAACUGCUAACAAGGGGCGUGAACAGAGGCCACAUGCUACAACUUCUUCUGGGGGCAGUUUCCCACUUCCCUUGUAAAAUUUUUCACUGCUGGUUUCGUGAAAUGUUAACAGAUUUUGCUUCAUUGAUGUUUUUUCUUGUGGCUACUCAGAAAAAUGCGUCAAAGAAGCUUGGUUUAUUCCCGUCUGCACUGUGGCUUAUGGGCUGAACUCAUUCACAGGAAAAAUGGCAGAGGGCUCCCUGGCUUGUUUUGGUGGAGGCAUUAGAAAGCCUGAUGGUUUCAUCACAGCUGGAGAUGUCCCUUCACCUCCCUAGCUGUAGACUGCUGCUCAGCACCUACUGUUCGCCUAUGCUGAUGGGUCUGUAUGGAAAAGGCCCUGUCUCCUCUCUGAGGUCCUUCCCUUCUACAGGGUUUCUGUCUCUACAGCUUUUUGGUAGGAGUAUGAGUGGGGGUCCCCUGACCCCCAAGGAGUUUAGAGUUUAAAGCCAUCUAAAAGAAGUCAUAUCAUUGGUUUGCCUCAUUUCCUGUAUUCAAGGCUCAUUUUAAAUAAUUCUUUGUGUGUGGUCAGAUUUUCUAGUUUAAAAAAAAAUGAGAGAAUUCACAGAGUAUUUAAAAUCUGUGUUACAAAUAACCAUGCAUUAUUUGGCUUAGCUUUAUUCAAAAACAAGGGCUGGGUUUACAUUCAUUGAUUGACUUCUUGGUCAGAUUUGUGUACCGAAUGUGUGCUGUGACUUAGUGAAGAUUGAAUGUUUGUAUAAUUGAAGGUCUCUCUACACGAAUGAUUUUUUAAAUGUUGGAAGCCAGAAUUUACUAUGUCUAUGACAUUAACAGUAGUAAAAGUAACUGCUUUGAGAAAUAGGCUGGAAUUUAUGUUGGGCUUGUCUGUCUACUCUGAUUUUUUUGUAAAGUUUGAUCCUUCAUUGAUGCAUUCAGGAGAUCUUUACAGGUGUUAAGCUCUUUGAGCUCUCCCAGGUGUCUCAAACUCAACUGCCAAUAAAGGCCAAGAGGGUUACACAAGUAAGUGAGGAAGAUGGUGUGUUGUGGAGAGAAGUGUGACUGUGGUCAUCUGGAGAGCUCAGGCUCUACUUCACAGGGCAACUGCUGUUCAGCUCUGUGGCUAGACAUGAAUAUUAAUAUGACAGUGUUGCCAGAUGUUAACAUAUUUCUAUGA
Bubalus bubalis (water buffalo) is the source of this 45814-nucleotide long non-coding RNA. RefSeq lists it as uncharacterized. The transcript is spliced from 2 exons. The record is from RefSeq and is a predicted model, not a curated record. NCBI's taxonomy places the organism in Eukaryota, Metazoa, Chordata, Mammalia, Artiodactyla, Bovidae.